GCGUGUACAAGACCGUCGGCGCGCGGAGGAAGAGCGUGGAGAAGGCCUUCAAGCUUUAGACCUCAGCUCACUUGUGAUUUGGAGAUCAGUUGCAGAGCAGCAAAGAAACUUGAUUGGUGAUCUAGCUACUAUGUCGGAGUAAAAUAAAUUUAAAAACAGCAACUGGUGAUUGUGAGGUGGAAAUCACGUUUCUGCCAUAUCGACGCUGCUUGAUUCGAGAAUACAAGUUCAAUGUGUGUCCGUGUAUCAUUUACACAUGGGUGGGUAAAAUCAUCGAAACAUGACACACACAUCUUAGAUUCUCAAGAUUUGUUAGGGUACAUCAUAAUGCCUAUCUCCAUUGGCUAAAGAACGCAGUCAACACCACUACAACAUUCUUCGCCCGAGAGCCAAAUGUGCAUCAUGCCACCAGGAACGCCGCCCCGACAUCCAAGACCCUGAGACUCAGCCCACUGCCCACAUUGGCAACUCGUCAACCACAAAAGGAAGAGUAGGAAGGCGCCUCUUUCCGGUCCUUACUCGACACCAGCCACCGAAUCAUGGCGUAUUGGCGACGAAGGCGCCCACACGGCGUCCCCAACAAGUACCACUUGAGUCGGGAGGGAACACGAUCCCGUGGCUCUCAACGGUCCUCGCCGAGAAUGUCACAAGCAUAGUCCCUCUAGCCUUGGCCCAGACGAACCCGAAGGACGCAUCACCCGUAUCGAAGCCGAAAGAUCUGACGGCAAGGCAACCCCUCCCAGAGUCGCAUAAACCACCACCAGCGUGAGGCGUGUUAGACUGCAUGCUCUAUGCUAUUUUGUGAGGCGUGUUAGACUGCAUGUGAGCUCAAUGCGUGUAAUUAAACACGGUGCAAAGUAAAAGAAUUUUUUCUAUGUAGCUUACCUACCACCAGCGUGUGGACAACCAAACACGUUUCAAUCAUGUGGUGUGACAUGAUGUCACCUCUCAAAACACUUGGUGUGAUCUGACAAGGAAGCGUGCAAGUUUCAUGUAUGAAGUUGUAGAUGUGUCUACCGGGCCAUGGCUAAAUUUCUUUUUUGGAAUACGUAAAGCUUGCAUAUCAUUUCAUUGAUAGAAGAAAUUAAGAGUGAGUACAUGGAGUGGUACAACACAUGACACGGACACAGAAGGUGUGAACAUGGCGAUUGUAUAGAUGGACAUGAGAUACUCAGCCCAACCAGAAAAAUAACACGGCUAAACUCGCCACCGUGGGACGCAGCCCGAACCGAACUAACAAGACAACGAAAAUCCACAAAACUACCACCGUGGAAACCGCGAGCAAACAAGACGGCGCCUUCACGAAGGAGAACGACGCCGAGCACCUUCAAGAAGAGGACGACACCCGCUGCCAGCAUCGAAAGGUCAGCAAGGAUUUGUGGCCAUGGCCUACUCAAAUUCUCAGAUUUUUUUUCUAGAUUUUAUUUUUUGCAAAAUUACAUCAUUAAAUUCCACCAUCUAGUUAUUUCAAAUAGAAAUCGUUAUUCGACAGUAGCAGGAUUCACUCCCCUAAAAAUAGGUAUAGCAGGAUUCAGUGAACAAGAAAGACAUAAGAAACCUCUUCGCCACAUUAUAGCCUGCAGGCCGAGCUCGCCGCAUACAUGAUUCAUAAACGAGUUGUCAACCAUCUGGAAGGCGUGGGCUCCGGGCAAGAUGAAAAUGCUGCUCUGGCUGCUGCAUCUUGACAGACUCUGGUGCAACGACAGACUCUAGCGGCGAGGUUGGGCCAACAACUACUUCUGCCAACUCUGCCUCCGCAAUCUCGAGACCUCGUCACAUCUCUUCUGGGAGUGCACCGUCGCCUUUCAAGUUUUUAACGCCGUGGCAUCCUGGGUGGGUUGCUCCGCUCUGGGACACGCCACGUGGAGCGCGGGCGAAUCCAGCACCAAGAGGGUCCGCAUGAUCAUUGAUGGAGCCGACCCUGGCACGAGGAAGGGAAUCAGAUCACUGCUCCCCCUGGUGAUCUGGCACAUCUGGCUGGAGCGCAACGCAUGCACCUUCAGGGGAAAAACAUCAUGCGCCCGAAGCGUCGUUGCAGCUUGCCGACAAGACAUGGAGCAGCGGACCGCCGGAGCCAAAUACAUCGUGCACCCCUUCGGGGACGUGCCAUGAAAUAUAGCGAGCGUGCCCUUAGCCAGCUUUGAGCUUGAUAGGCUGGCUGUGUAAUCCCCGCCCAUCCGAUCAGUUGAUCGAACCCUGUUUCCGGCUCUCUCCUGCUAAUGAAAUGAAAGCCUAGAAUGGCCACUUUAAAAAAAAAUAUUAAAAAAAAACGAGCUGUCAUGGAUCUCGUUGAAUGAACAUAUUGAUUUACCACACUUUGAAGGCCUGAACUAGGCAUGUGCGCGAGGCUCCCCUUUUCAUACACUUCUGUCGUAGAUUCUAAGACUAAGAGUGGUCGUGGGGAAUAGACAAAUGCUCGCCAACUAGCCGGGAAUGCGCUGAAAGAGGGCGGAGGAGGGCAGUGGUGUUCGCAGACUCCUUCUCUUUCCUGCACAUGAUGACACGCUUCAGUGGGCAGUCAGCGGAGAUCCUGAUGCUGUAGGAACACAAUAAGAAGUACAGAUCUGCUAACUCAUACAAAGCAUUCUCUCCUGAAUAAUGUCUCCUACUCCCGUAUUCUCAAGGUAGCAUUGGUUUCUUCUUGCAUUGUGUUUUCCUAACAGUAAGUAUUCGAGAGAAAACUGGUGAUCCUUUUGAACUAUAUUGAGAAAACAUAGACACUUGAUCGGUCCUCCUCGGUCGUAUAUAUACACGGAUAUACAUUGUCUUUUGCUAGCAGCAGGUAGGUUGGUAGAAUUUAAUUUGAUAUGACAUCUUUGCACGGAAAGGACUUCGUGACUGACCGACUGUACCAUUUUAUUUAUGUAACUAUCAUAGUGUGUUUGCACAUAUACAUGAACAACAUCUGAACGGAUUGUUAUUACUAUUAAAAAUUAUACAGAGUAAUAGCGCAUAUAUUCUACACAUCAUACAAUAUUAUAUAUCAUCUUGUAAAUGGGAGGUUGUUGGGAGUGAAUGGUUGAGGCCCCCAAGAAGCAGGCGGUGGAAGAUGGGCGACAGCAGGGGCGACAGCGUGGGCGACGCGACUGCGGUGUGGCAGCCAGCCGUGGCGGGGAAGACGGGCUGGACCGGGGUCCGGCGCACCGCGAGCGUGCUUCAGGUGAGCGGCGGGGAGGGCCGCGCCGGCUCACCGGCAGUGGGGGCCGCAGGUCGCCACAACCGCUUCUGGGCGUUGGCGGCGGAGGACUCGGAAGAGGAAGACGAAGGCGGGGAGCUGGAUCCGGAGCGAGGCCUGUGCGCGGCGCCGGCAGGGCCGUCGCUCGGCGACUUCGUGGCCUUGGCUGCGAAGCACGGCGGGGUGGCCUCGCGCUCGGGGCGCGGGAGUCGCUUCGCGCCGGGCGGCCGUGGCUCCAGAUCCAUUGCUUCUCGCAUCUGGCAGCCGCCGCGGGAGCUCGACUCGGGCUUAGGUGCUGGCGGUUCGUCGGGGGCGGCAGCGAGCAUUCGAGCCAAGGUGGCGGCGAGCCUGACGGAGUCGCAGAUGGAGCUGUCCAGGGAGGACUGGCCGCGCCUGCCGGCGUCCCCCGUGGCGACGGCGGUGGCGGCGGCGGGGGCGACGUGCGGUCCCGAGCCGAUGCGCUCGGCACCAGGCCCUAGGGUUGGGCCGUUGGGCCGUUGGUGGGGGCCCCUUCGGGGUCGGCGUCGUGCGUGGAGCUGGCAGCGGCUUCUGGGCCUGGGCCGAGUGGACUAGGCCUGGAGUCGGCCGCGGCACCGCAGCCUCAUGCUUCACAACGGCCCAACGCGCCGCGGCCCGACUCUGGCCCGAUAACUGGAUAUAUAUGGGUGAGGCGGGGCUGCCUGGAUCCCUGUUUAGGGUUUCCAGCCACCACUCGCGAGGUGCGGCGCUUUGCCCACUCCGCUCGCUCGAUCCAGAUCUGCCCCCCUCCUCCCCCCCUUCUCCAGUCCUUCGCGGCGGUGGUGAUGGGAGACAGGCGUGCGGACAAGCGGCCGAUGGAGGUCUCAGAUCCGGAGGCGGAGCGGCGUAGGGAGCGGGAACUUCGUGACAAGGCGAAGCGUGUGAUGCGCGAGCGCUCGGGUGGACGCGAGGCCAGAGAAGAGCGAGGCGGAUCCCGCGACCAGGGCGGGCGCGAGGGGGAUUGGGGUCCUCCUCCCCCGUGGUGGAUCCAGCAGCAGGAGCGCAAGAAGAAAAAGAAGGUCCAGCAGCGGCGUCGAGAGCUUGAGAGGAAGCCCGAGCCGUUCCCCAGCGAUGGUGGGGGCCACGGGGACCCAAAGGCCAUGAAGCCGAGGGCAGCUUCACUGGCGGUGGCACUGCCCUCUGCUCCCAAGGGUACGGCGGAGGAACCCAUCCCAGUGGAAGUGGCGGCGGACGUGGAGUGCUUCAAGUGCGGGCGCCCCGGCCACUUCCAGUCCCAGUGCAAGUUCUUGCCCCUCUGUGUACUCUGCAAGGAAGAAGGGCAUGCGUCUGCACACUGCCCAACAAGGGGCCGGCAACUCCACCUCCAAAUCAUGGGCAGCGCCAUUUCUGGGGAAGGCUUUUUCUGCCUAGAGUUCGAGGACAUGGACGAGGCCGAAGCACCCAUAGAUGCUCACAUCAAGAACGCGGCCAUCUUAUCUGCGGAGCCGGGGAAACUGAACCUACGGAUUCUCAAGCAAGAAUUGAAGCACAUGGUGACAGGCGACUGGGACUGGCAGGUAUCUCAAGUGGGGGAUGAUGAUUUCGUGGUGGUCUUUCCUUCUGCAGACCUGUUACACAUGGCGAAGUCUAGUGGUAAAUUGUUUCUGUCCAUCAAUGACAUCACUGCGCGGGUGCGCGACAUGUUACACGAGGAGGUCCAACCCAUGGUGAUGCCGGAGACUUGGGUGCGUCUCCAUGGCAUCCCAAAGAAACAUAGGCGUGAAGAUCGCAUCAGGGAAGGGUUCCGAAUGCUGGGCAGGCCAAUUGUGGUCGAUGAACUUUCUCUGAUCAGGUUGGGGCCUGUUCGGAUGAAGCUUGCGUGCAAAGCCCCGGAGAAGCUCAAUGGAGUUGUCGAGGUAUGGUUCAACCAUGAGGGAUACCAAAUCAAGGUGGAGCGCGAGACCCUGCCCAAAAGGGGUGGUGAGCGGGCCGUGCUGGGAGCGGGCCCUGCCAACCCCCCUGACAAGGUCGCGAAUCCGGGCGCUCGGACGCUGGGCACCGAAAAGCACGGCAGGGCCGAACCAGGCAAGGAGUCGCAAGGGUGUGAGGGCGGCCCUCGUGGUGCGGAGUACCAGGAUACCAAGAUGACAGACAAGGGAGAGGACCAAGACGACAGCAUUCAGGACACUUCCAUUGACACGGAAACUUGGGACAAGCUGGGCGCGUUGUCGGCCGAGAUUGGUGCCAUGGGGGUGGCGACACAGGACACCGCGGUCAGCGGGCCCCCGCUAGCCAGGUCGCUGGAACUUACCUUCAACGAGUACGGGUCCAACCUUGGCUCAUUGGCGCGGGUGGGGUUUCCUCUGCUGUCCCUCCUUCUCUGCCAACCUCUUCCUCACCAGUGGCUGUGGGGGCGGACUACGGUGGCGUGGUUAGCGAGCCAGCUGACAAUACGCCUGCUCUGCGCUGGGGCUCCAACAGUGGGGGCAGGCAACCGAAGAAGACGGCGGGGAGGAAACCGGCGAACAAGCAGGCGAUGGUGGUGGCGCAGGCGGAGAGCUCUGACCUUGGUGGUGAGUUGGGCGCAGCGCUGGGGACGACGGGGACUAUCAACAAGGCCAGGCGCACCAAGGCGAUCCCGGUGGUGCAGCGCGCCCCGAGCGUUCGGGCCAAGGCCAAGCUCGGCGACCUCUCCUCCUUGGAAAGCGCCAAACUUCGCACCGCUGACAAGAACAUGGACGCCGCAGGUAACCCCUUGCCCUCUUUUCGCAUUCUUAAUGCCUUCUCGGAUGAGCAACUAGUGAGCAUUCUAGAUGACUGCGGGGUGGAGACUCGUGGGGCGCAGUCCGAGAUCGUUUCUCUUGUGCGCGCUAGGGAAGAGGCGCAGGCUGCGCUGGCGGCCUCUGCUGUGCGCUGUGCUAACAACAGCGAGUUAGCCAUUGUGCCAGUAGAGGCUGUUGCUGAGAGAGUGCCCGACGAGGUGUCACUAGCUAGGGAUGCUGGUGUCCUUCCUUCUAAUGGCCGAGCGACGGCUAGGAAGAGAGUGGCGAAGGCGGUGACCUCUAGAGGUGUGCGCCUACGUAACAGGGUGAUUUAGAUGCGUUACAUGUUCUGGAAUAUCCGUGGUUGUGGCCAUGGUGGUCGACGCACGCAGCUCAGAGAAUUCAUUGUCAAAGAACAUAUAGACGUGGUUGCGUUACAAGAGACGAUUAAAUCUGAUUUUACCUUCAGGGAUUUGCUUGCUUUUGAUCCUCUUCAACGUUUUGAGUGGCAGUGGGUUCCCUCUGUCGGUCACUCUGGUGGCAUUCUCUUGUGUUGUAAUAAAGAUGUUUGUGAUGUUUUGCAUUGGGAUGUUGGUGUGUUCCUUUUAUCUGCUACUAUUAAGCACCGUGUUUCUGGCCUGUCGUGGGUGGUCGUGUGUGUCUACGGGCCGGCUGACCACUCCAGAUCGCCAGCGUUCCUACUAGAACUUACCACCCUGGUCGGGGCCAAAAGGGAUAUCAACCUCCCUGUGGUGGUAGGGGGAGACUUUAACUUAAUUCGCUCGGGGGCAGAUAAGAAUAAUGGCCGUAUUGACUGGACAAGGGUGUCCUUAUUCAAUAAUGCCAUUGCGGCAGCAGCAUUGCGGGAGGCCGCACGGACUGGUACCAGAUAUACCUGGACUAACAAGCAAAUGCAGCCGGUCCGUAGCGUGUUAGAUAGGGUUUUUUUACUCCGGAAUGGGAGGUCUUGUUCCCCAUGUGCUCCCUCGUGGCGGAGACGCGUAUCGGAUCAGACCACGUCUCGCUAAUUUUCUCCUCAGGGGAGGAGCUCAUUCGCCGUAGCCCUCGGUUCUACUUCGAAACGGCGUGGUUUGAAGCAGAGGGAUUUUCCCAGAUGGUGGUCGAGCGCUGGGGCGUGAUUUGUGCUCAUCUGGGACCUCAACGCGGUCCAGCAGAGGGCUGGGUCGCGGCUGCUAGCAAGCUGCGCGCCUACCUGCGCGGGUGGGGCGCUAAUCAUGGUAGCGAGUCCAAGAAAGAGCGCGCGCGCAUAGUUGAGGCGAUCUCGCUGUUAGAUUUGGAGGCUGAUCGCCGACCUUUCUCGGAGGCCGAGUGGGCGCAUAGGUACGCUUUAGAGGAUCAAGUGACAGCGAUUUUACGCGCGGAAGAGGAAUAUUGGCGACGCAGGGGCGGAGUCAAAUGGGUCACGAAAGGAGACGCAAACACUGGAUAUUUCCACGCCUACGUGAACGGGCGGAAAAGGAAAUGCACCAUCCUGCGUCUCCAAACAGAACAGGGUGUUCUGUUGGCGCAGGACCAAAUCGUGGCCCAUAUCUACGAGUUUUUCAUAGGCCUUUUGGGGACGGUCGCUGAAAAACCAUUACGCCUUCGCGGUGAUUUGUGGGAUACCGCGGAGCGGGUCUCGCAGGAAGAGAACGAUAGGUUAGCCCUUACAUUCCUUCCUGAGGAAAUAGACCAGGCCUUACACGGCAUGAAAACGAGCACGGCGCCUGGGCCGGACGGUUGGCCGGUGGAGUUCUUUAAGACAUUUUGGCCCUGCCUUAAGCACUUGUUUUACGAUAUUGUCAAUGGCUUCGCCUUAGGCACGGUGGAUCUCUCCCGGCUGAACUAUGGAGCCAUUUGCCUUAUUCCUAAGGUCAAAGGGGCGGACAAUAUCAAACUUUUUAGACCCAUUACCUUUAUCAACGUCCCGUUCAAAAUUUGUGCGAAAGUGUAUGCAUCGCGCUUGGCUCCGGCCGCUCAACGAGUGAUUAGCUCUAGUCAAACGGGUUUCCUCAAACACCGUAACAUUCUCGAGGGACCAAUUGCGUUACAAGAGAUCGGUUCACGAGUUGAAAAGGACCAAGGCACAGGGAGUGCUUCUCAAAUUAGAUUUCGAGAAAGCGUACGAUCGCGUGAACUGGGAGUUCGUGCGAGAAGUCCUCCUCAAAAAGGGGUUUGAGGCAGGAUUCGUACAUUGUAUCAUGCACCUCGUGUGUAGUGGGCACACGGCGGUCACUAUCAACGGCACAAUGGGCAAGUUCUUUCGUAACAAGCGUGGUCUCCGUCAGGGAGACCCAAGUUCCCCGCUUAUCUUCAACUUUGUUGCGGAUGCCUUGGCGGCCAUGAUUAAUAAAGCAAGGGCAGCGGGUCACAUCAAAGGGCUCGUUGCGCAUCUGAUUCCGGGUGGGGUCACGCAUUUGCAAUACGCUGACGACACGAUGCUCUUACUCGAACCCGAUGACCACAGCUUAGCAACUACCAAGCUACUCUUGCUUGCGUUCGAGAUCUUAUCAGGGCUUAAGAUCAACUUUCUGAAAAGCGAAGUGAUCACCAUUGGGAUGGAUGAUCUAGCUAGCUCGCGGGUUGCGAAUCUCCUUAAUUGCAAGCUAGGGAGCUUUCCAAUUAAAUACUUGGGCCUCCCAAUUUCGACCAAGAAACCUACCAUAGCGGAAUGGGAACCGCUUUAUGGGAAGGUCGCUAACCGAGUGAGCCCUUCGAGGGGUAGGUUUAUGUCCUCGGCGGCGAGGCUAAUCCUAACCAACUCGAGCUUAUCUUCCCUCCCUAUUUUCACUAUGGGGAUGUUCCUACUAGCGGAUGGGGUUCACACAAGACUCGAUACCCCUCGCUCCCGGUUCUUUUGGGAAGGAGCCGGGACCAAGCGCAAGUAUCACUUAGUAAAAUGGGCAGCAGCGUGUAGGCCAAAAAAAUUUGGCGGCCUAGGUAUCACGAAUUCUAAACUCAUGAACGUGGCGUUCCUAACUAAGUGGUGGUGGCGUCUUGCCCAAAACGAGUCGGGGCUCUGGGAAGACAUCCUUCGAGCCAAAUAUUUCCCGGAGGGGAAUCUGUUCAAGGCUAAAACCAACGGUUCGGCCUUUUGGAACGGGAUCCAAGCGGUACGACCGGCGUUUUCAGUUGGUGCACAGUUCCGGGUAAACAACGGCAAGUCCACACGGUUCUGGCUCGACCACUGGUGGGGUCAGGAGCCGUUAUGGCAAUCCCAUCCGGAAUUGUACCAACUGGCAACGGACACUAACAUUUUCGUGGCCGAUGCUUUAUGCGUCCACCCUCCAGCCAUUUCGUUCAUCAGAAAUCUAGAGCCCAGGGAGGCUGCAAGCUGGGACGCUUUGACGGUCGACUUGGGUGGUCUGAACCGUAGCACUGGGGCGGACACGAUAUCGUGGAAGUUGACCGCUUCUAAGCAAUUUUCGGUCAAGUCCUUAUAUGACAUGCUAUCUUCGGGACCUACAUUAGAUAUAGCUAGGGGGCUAUGGAAGGCUGCCAUUCCUCUCAAAAUCAAGAUCUUAUUUUGGCAAAUGUGUCGCAACCGCUUACCUACGUCGGACAACGUUGCCAAACGAAAUGGGCCAGCGAACGGCACAUGCACCACCUGCGGUUUAGGGGAAAACGCGAACCACGUCUUCUUUGGUUGUGUGCUUGCUAGAUUUGCGUGGAGUGCAGUGAGAGACGCAUUCAAUCAAAAUUGGAACCCUCAGUCUAGCCACGAAUUGCUGUCUAUCUUAACGGCGCAAAGAGGGGCCAAUGCUAGGAUAGUUUGGAGAUGCGUUGGGGCGCUUCUUUGGUCCCUCUGGACGGUUCGUAACAAAAUUACGGUUGAACACAAAUUCCCGACCCACCCCGCUGAUAUUAUCUUCAAAUGCCAUAUUUUCCUUCAGGUCUGGGCUCCACUGGGGAAGAAGCGUGACAUCGAGCGCAUGGGCCAUGGAGCUGAUCAAGACAUCCAUGAUGAAGGCGCGGCACGGGACGAUGGCUGCCCCAUGAUCCUCCUCGUGCUGCUAGCUCUGGCCUUGAUACUCCGCUUUUGUGUUUCCGAGCUUGUGGUUGUGUGCUACUUAGUUUUAUCUUGAGCCAUGUGCUCGUUGGACUUGUUAUUUUUGGUUUGUAAGACUGUUUGUGUGGAUUCUGCCUGGUGGCUUUAUUAAGUUAAAGCCGGACGCUUCUAGCGUCUAUGUUCAAAAAAAAAUCUUGUAAAUGGGACAUUUUUUUAGAACAAAGAUCCAAUGGUCAUCUUAUAACUGAACAUUAUCAAGGAAAAUGGUGGACAAUAGAUUGCCAAGAUAACAAGACACAAAACGGCCAGCAAAUUUUUUUACAUCAAAAAACAUAUUGGUCAUCUUCUUCCUUCGAUUGUAGGAACACUACUAGGGAAAACCUUAUACACGGAAUCUUAGUAGCAGCGCGGGUCAGGAAGAGGCGCUACUGCUAAUUGGCAGUAGCGCGGGCCAAAUACAGGCGCUACUACUAAUAAAAUUGACCGACAGUUCCCGCCACCCUAGGUUUAGCAGUAGCGCGCCUGUGCUAAGCGCGCUACUGCUAAUAAGAUAGUAGUAGCGUGCUUUUUUUGCAGGUUGCUACUGCUAAUUUUGAAACUGGCCACAUGGCGGGCCCCGCUUAGCAGUAGCGCGUGUUCCAAAAGCUCGCUACUGCUAUCUCAUUACCAGUNNNNNNNNNNNNNNNNNNNNNNNNNNNNNNNNNNNNNNNNNNNNNNNNNNNNNNNNNNNNNNNNNNNNNNNNNNNNNNNNNNNNNNNNNNNNNNNNNNNNNNNNNNNNNNNNNNNNNNNNNNNNNNNNNNNNNNNNNNNNNNNNNNNNNNNNNNNNNNNNNNNNNNNNNNNNNNNNNNNNNNNNNNNNNNNNNNNNNNNNNNNNNNNNNNNNNNNNNNNNNNNNNNNNNNNNNNNNNNNNNNNNNNNNNNNNNNNNNNNNNNNNNNNNNNNNNNNNNNNNNNNNNNNNNNNNNNNNNNNNNNNNNNNNNNNNNNNCCCACGUCGAGGCCCAUGAGAUAGUUGUAAGGCAAGAUUGAACGAUUGGCCUUCUCAAGUCUCCUCGAGAUACUCCCGUGAUUAGCGCGUGCGUGGAUUAGGGAUGCCUCGCUGCCGACCUGCCGUCCUAUGGCCAGCCUCUGCUCUCCCUUCUGUAGAUCUGAUUCAUAAGGUGACACAGGCUGCUUCACGUCACCCACCAAUUCUUCAGACUGCAGCCGCGACCUGGGCAAGGUUAACACACCACACCAUCUACUAAUCUCUUUCAAUUAUCUUCUUGUAUCGUGUUGAACUUCUACAUCAGAUUUUAGUUAUUUUGAUUUUGUGAUUUUGUGAUGUGUCGCCGCGCUAGGGUAUAGGCACUUGUAAUUCUUUGAAAGCUCGGACCCGUCAACGCUUCGUCAAACAUCCGUGGUUGUCGCGUGCCUGCCAACGAUGACGAACCGAUCUACUUCGUCUCCGACCUAGCAGCAGAGGGACGACGAGGGGCUGGGUUUGAUUAUCUAGGUAUGUAUCCCGGCCUCGGUGAUCAAUUUUCGCUAAGAAAACGAUAAAGUUCCCUAAUAGAACCAUGCUGAUUUGCGACUCAAAUAUAUAUAAAUGCAAGAUACAAGCCAACCAUUUGAUUAUACAUGAUUACCAUCGUUCAUAUAUCUUAAUCAUUCAUAUAAAAUCUUUUGUAGCAAGGCAUUUCAUGUCGUAUUUUAGAGUCAUUUGAUGCGUGUGUAGAAUUAUUGAUUAGUAUUAGCUAUCGCUAGAUGCGAUCCAGUUGUAAAAAAAAUGUGUGUCUAGGCAAAGUUAAAUGCAAAUGAGAAUUAAAUAUGCAACUGUUGGAUAGUAUGCGAGGCAUAAAAUAUUUUCUGGCUUCAUUGCCGUUUGGCCCCCCUAUACCUAAAUCCUGGCUCCGCCCUUGCGCCCAGCGCUACUGCUAAGCCGCAGCCAUACCACCUUUCCCUCCCCCCUCCCCCUCCCCCUCCCCCAUCCUCUCUUCCUCACUUUCCCCUAGCUCCCACCUCCUCUCUCCCUCACUUUGCUUCUUCCUCACUACUUCUUCCCCCCAUUACUCUCCUUCUUCUACCUACCUUUCUCUCUCUUUAUUACUCCUAGCUAACUACACCACCUCCAUUAAUGCAUCUCCUUUCUCUUUUUCCUUCCCCCUCCACUAGUUGAACUUGUCUCCUCCCAAACUAGCUAGCUAGGUAGAUGUAGCAUUUAGUGAAGUGACCUAUGUACCCCCUAACUAGAUCUAGCCUUGUCAAGAAGAGCUUUGUCCACUUUUGAUCUCCCUAACUACACAUCAUCAUCUCACCGUGCUCGAUCUCGAGAUAGGUGAUUAAAAUUUUAUGCUUUUGCAAGAAUGAAAAUAUGUAUACGUGUGUGCGAUAUGACAUAAUCGGGCAUAUGAUGGAAAUUGUGUGGGUGGCAUGAAUUGACGCCGAGUUGUGCUUGUGAGUUGCCUAUGUUUUGCUGAAAUGUCGAUUUAUUUCCAUUUUGGCGAAUUCCAGGCAAACUCUAUAUGUCUUAUUUUUAGGGAAGGUCAUGCCAAAUUUUGUAUGACUUUGAUGCAUGCAUGCAUUUUUAUAAUCAAUUUGUUUAUUAUUACCGUGCAGGCGUUCAUGAUGGUCAGUGGAACGAUGGUGGACAUGUGGUUGCGGUCGGCGGUGCAUGACAUGAAAGAAAAGAACCUAAUAGAGGUUCUAUCUCCGUGUCGAAGAUGCAAUGGACGAGUUUGGCUCGACCCCCUAUGACGAUGGUCGUGUCGAAGCGCACCUGCUCAUGACUUGUUUCAUGGAUGGCUAUACUCGGUGGAUAAUUGAAGAUGAGGAUGAUGAUGUGCAGGACGCCGACGGGGCAGGCAAUGACGACACAGGGCAAAACGAAGAGAUGAUCGAUAAUGGCUGCGGAGAAGGGGCCGGACAUCGCGGCGGAGAGAACGUGGACUCCACGCUGCAGAAUUCGUCGGUACUAAGUUCAAUCGUGCGGGAAUGACGACACAGGGCAAGACGAAGAGAUGAUCGAUAAUGGUUGCACAGAAGGGGCCGGACAUGGCGGCGGAGAAGGGGCCGGACAUGGCGGCGGAGAGAACGUGGACUCCUUGCCGCAGAAUUCGUCGGUACUAAGUUCAAUCGUGCGGGACCCUCUUGUUCAAGCACUGCUUCGCAAGGAGACGAGUACUGAGAGAGCUGCUUCUAGAGAGGAGGCCAAGCUGCAGCAACUGGUAGUAGAUUCGAACACUCCAUUGUAUCAUGGUUGCAAUCCUGAGGUGGCCCGCUUGAGUUUCACACUCGAACUCCUGAAGAUGAAGGCUAAAAAUAAAUGGACCGACACUAGCCUCGAUGAGCAUCUCAAGCACCUAAAGAAUGUUCUUCCCGCGGGGAAUCUAUGUCCUACUAGUGUGGAUGAGGCUAAGAAGAUCGUGUGCCCUCUUGAUCUGCCGCACGUUAGAUACCAUGCAUGCAUCAACGAUUGCAUAAUUUAUCUGAAGGAGCACGUGGAAAAAACAAGCUGUCCGUGUUGGGGAACGUAGUAAUUUCAAAAUUUUCGUACGCACACGCAAGAUCAUGGUGAUGCAUAGCAACGAGAGGGGAGAGUGUUGUCUAUGUACCCUCGUAGACCGUAAGCGGAAGCGUUAUAUCAACGUGGUUGAUGUAGUCGUACGUCUUCACGAUCCGACCGAUCCAAGUACCGAAAGCACGGCAUCUCCGAGUUCUGCACACGUUCGGCUCCGUGACGUCCUCGCCUUCUCGAUCCAGCAAGAGGGGCGAAGUAGUAGAUGAGUUCCGGCAGCACGACGGCGUGGUGACGGUGUUGGUGAAGAACAAUCUUCGCAGGGCUUCGCCUAAGCACUACGAAAAUAUGACGGAGGAUAAACUAGAGGGGACGGGGUUGCCGGAACACGGCUUGGUGUUUCUUGAUCUCUCUUGGGUGCUAGCCCUACCCAUCUUAUAUGUUGAGCCUUGGGGUCGAAACUUGGAGUAAAAGCCUCCACAAAGUCGGUUUCACCCGAAAGGCAAGAGUCCUUCUCGGACUCCAGGGCCAGACGCCAGGGUUCCCGGCGUCUGGACCCAGACGCCAGGGACCCUGGCGUCUGGCCCCUUGACUCCGCAAAACUUCCUUUUGCGCUUUCCAAAAACCUCGUGGGCUUUCCCCUUUGGCCCAGAUAAAGUGUUCUCGUGCCCAAACAUUUCGGGAAACAUCCGGAACCCCUUCCGAUGGAUUCCGGAACCUUUCCGGAGAUCAAACACUACUAUCCACAUAUCAAUCUUUACUUCCGGACCAUUCCAGAGUUCCUCGUCAUAUCCGUGAUCUCAUCCAAAACUCCGAACAACAUUCGGUCACCAACAUACAUAACUCAUAGUACUAUAUCGUCAAUGAACGUUAAGCGUGCGGACCCUAAGGGUUCGAGAACUAUGUAGACAUGACCGAGACAGCUCUCUUGUCAAUAACCAAUAGCGGGACCUGGAUGCCCAUAUUGGCUCCUACAUAUUCUAUGAAGAUCUUUGUCGGUCAGACCGCAUAACAACAUACGUUGUUCCCUUUGUCAUCGGUAUGUUACUUGCCCGAGAUUCGAUCGUCUGUAUCUCAAUACCUAGUUCAAUCUCGUUACCGGCAAGUCUCGUUACUCGUUCUGUAAUAUAUCAUCCCGCAACUAACUCAUUAGUUGCAAUGCUUGCAAGGCUUAUAGUGAUGUGAAUUACCGAGUGGGCCCAGAGAUACCUCUCCGACAAUCGGAGUGACAAAUCCUAAUCUUGAAAUACGCCAACCCAACAAGUACCUCCGGAGACACCUGUAGAGCACCUUUAUAAUCACCCAGUUACGUUGUGACGUUUGGUAGCACACAAAGUGUUCCUCCGGUAAAUGGGAGUUGCAUAAUCUCAUAGUCAUAGGAACAUGUAUAAGUCAUGAAGAAAGCAAUAGCAACAUACUAAACGAUCGAGUGCUAAGCUAACGGAAUGGGUCAAGUCAAUCACAUCAUUCUCCUAAUGAUGUGAUCCCGUUAAUCAAAUGACAACUCAUGUCUAUGGCUAGGAAACAUAACCAUCUUUGAUCAACGAGCUAGUCAAGUAGAGGCAUACUAGUGACACUCUGUUUGUCUAUGUAUUCACACAUGUAUUAUGUUUCUGGUUAAUACAAUUCUAGCAUGAAUAAUAAACAUUUAUCAUGAUAUAAAGAAAUAAAUAAUAACUUUAUUAUUGCCUCUAGGGCAUAUUUCCUUGAGUCUCCCACUCGCACUAGAGUCAAUAAUCUAGUUCACAUCACCAUGUGAUUUAACAUCAAUAGUUCACAUCUUUAUGUGGUUAACACUCGUAGUUCACAUCGAUAUGUGACCAACACCCAAAGGGUUUACUAGAGUCAGUAAUCUAGUUCACAUCGCUAUGUGAUUAACACCCAAAGAGUACUAAGGUGUGAUCAUGGUUUGCUUGUGAGAUAAUUUUAGUCAACGGGUCUGUCACAUUCAGAUCCGUAAGUAUUUUGCAAAUUUCUAUGUCUACAAUGCUCUGCACAGAGCUACUCUAGCUAAUUGCUCCCACUUCCAAUAUGUAUCUAGAUUGUGACUUAGAGUCAUCCAGAUCGGUGUCAAAGCUUGCAUCGACGUAACUCUUUACGACGAACUCCUUAUCACCUCCAUAACCGAGAAAUAUAUCCUUAUUCCGCCAAGGAUAAUUUUCACUGCUGUCCAGUGAUCUACUCCUAGAUCACUAUUGUACUCCCUUGCCAAACUUAUGGUGAGGUACACAAUAGGUCUGGUACUCAGCAUAGCAUACUUGAUAGAACCUAUGACUGAGGCAUAGGGAAUGACUCUUCAUUCUCUUCCUAUUUUUCUGCCGUGGUCGGGUUUUGAGUCUUUACUCAACUUCACACCUUGUAACACAGGCAAGAACUCUUUCUUUGGCUGUUCCAUUUUGAACUAUUUCAAAAUCCUGUCAAGGUAUGUACUCAUUGAAAAAAAACUUAUCAAGUGUCUUGAUCUAUCUCUAUAGAUCUUGAUGCUCAACAUGUAAGCAGCUUCACCGAGGUCUUUCUUUGAAAAACUCCUUUCAAACACUCCUUUAUGCUUUGCAGAAUAAUUCUACAUUAUUUCCGAUCAACAAUAUGUCAUUCACAUAUACUUAUCAGAAAUGUUGUAGUGCUCCCACUCACUUUCUUGUAAAUACAGGCUUCACCGCAAGUCUGUAUAAAACUAUAUCCUUUGAUCAAUUUAUCAAAGUGUAUAUUAUAACUCCGAGAUGCUUGCACCAGUCCAUAGAUGGAUCGCUGGAGGUUGCAUAUUUUGUUAGCACCUUUAGGAUUGACAAAACCUUCUCGUUGCAUCAAAUACAACUCUUCUUUAAUAAAUCCAUUAAGGAAUGCAGUUUUGUUUAUCCAUUUGCCAGAUUUCAUGAAAUGCGGCAAUUGCUAACAUGAUUCAGGCAAACUUAAGCAUAGAUACGAGUGAGAAACUCUCAUUGGAGUCAACACCUUGAACUUGUCGAAAACCUUUUGCGACAAUUAUAGCUUUGUAGAUAGUAACACUACUAUCAGCGUCCGUCUUCCUCUUGAAGAUCCAUUUAAUCUCAAUGGCUCGCCGAUCAUUGGGCAAGUCAAUCAAAGUCCAUACUUUGUUCUCAUACAUGGAUCUCAUCUCAGAUUUCAUGGCCUCAAGCCAUUUCACAGAAUCUGGGCUCAUCAUUGCUUCCUCAUAGUUCGUAGGUUUAUCAUGGUCUAGUAACAUGACUUCCAGUACAUGAUUGUUGGAAAUAUGCCCUAGAGGCAAUAAUAAAUUGGUUAUUAUUAUAUUUCCUUGUUCAUGAUAAUCGUUUAUUAUCCAUGCUAAAAUUGUAUUGAUAGGAAACUCAGAUACAUGUGUGGAUACAUAGACAACACCAUGUCCCUAGUAAGCCUCUAGUUGACUAGCUCGUUGAUCAAUAGAUGGUUACGGUUUCCUGACCAUGGACAUUGGAUGUCGUUGAUAACGGGAUCACAUCAUUAGGAGAAUGAUGUGAUGGACAAGACCCAAUCCUAAGCAUAGCAUAAAAGAUCGUGUAGUUUCGUUUGCUAGAGCUUUUCCAAUGUCAAGUAUCUUUUCCUUAGACCAUGAGAUCGUGCAACUCCCGGAUACCGUAGGAGUGCUUUGGGUGUGCCAAACGUCACAACGUAACUAGGUGACUAUAAAGGUGCACUACGGGUAUCUCCGAAAGUGUCUGUUGGGUUGGCACGGAUCGAGANNNNNNNNNNNNNNNNNNNNNNNNNNNNNNNNNNNNNNNNNNNNNNNNNNNNNNNNNNNNNNNNNNNNNNNNNNNNNNNNNNNNNNNNNNNNNNNNNNNNNNNNNNNNNNNNNNNNNNNNNNNNNNNNNNNNNNNNNNNNNNNNNNNNNNNNNNNNNNNNNNNNNNNNNNNNNNNNNNNNNNNNNNNNNNNNNNNNNNNNNNNNNNNNNNNNNNNNNNNNNNNNNNNNNNNNNNNNNNNNNNNNNNNNNNNNNNNNNNNNNNNNNNNNNNNNNNNNNNNNNNNNNNNNNNNNNNNNNNUUGUCACUCCGUGUGACGGAGAGGUAUCUCUGGGCCCACUCGGUAAUGCAUCAUCAUAAUGAGCUCAAUGUGACUAAGGCGUUAGUCACGGGAUCAUGCAUUGCGGUACGAGUAAAGAGACUUGCCGGUAACGAGAUUGAACAAGGUAUUGGGAUACCGACGAUCGAAUCUCGGGCAAGUAACAUACCGAUUGACAAAGGGAAUUGCAUACGGGAUUGAUUGAAUCCUCGACACCGUGGUUCAUCCGAUGAGAUCAUCGUGGAACAUGUGGGAGCCAACAUGGGUAUCCAGAUCCCGCUGUUGGUUAUUGACCGGAGAGGUGUCUCGGUCAUGUCUGCAUGUCUCCCGAACCCGUAGGGUCUACACACUUAAGGUUCGGUGACGCUAGGGUUGUAGAGAUAUAUGUAUGCGGAAACCCGAAAGUUGUUCGGAGUCCCGGAUGAGAUCACGGACAUCUCGAGAGGUUCCGGAAUGGUCCGGAGGUGAAGAAUUAUAUAUAGGAAGUCAAGUUUCGGCCACCGGGAAAGUUUCGGGGGGUUACCGGUAUUGUACCGGGACCACCGGAAGGGUCCCGGGGGUCCACCGGGUGGGGCCACCUAUCCCGGAGGGCCCCGUGGGCUGAAAGUGGAAGGGAACCAGCCCCUAGUGGGCUGGGCGCCCCCCAUGGGCCUCCCCCCAUGCGCCUAGGGUUAGGAACCCUAGGGUGGGGGGACUUCCCCCUUGCCUUGGGGGGCAAGGCACCCCUUUCCACUCCUUGGCCGGCCCCCCUCCCAAGGGGGCCUAUAUAAAGGGGGGGGAGGGAGGGCAGCAACCAACAGCCUUGGGCGCCUCCCUCCUCCCCUGUAACACCUCUCUCUCUCUCUCUCUCGCAGAAGCUUGGCGAAGCCCUGCCGGAGACCCGCUGCAUCCACCACCACGCCGUCGUGCUGCUGGAUCUCCAUCAACCUCUCCUUCCCGCUUGCUGGAUCAAGAAGGAGGAGACGUCGCUGCACCGUACGUGUGUUGAACGCGGAGGUGUCGUCCGUUCGGCACUCGGUCAUCGGUGAUUUGGAUCACGGCGAGUACGACUCCGUCAUCCACGUUCAUUGGAACGCUUCCGCUCGCGAUCUACAAGGGUAUGUAGAUGCACACUCUUCCCCUCGUUGCUAGUAGACUCCAUAGAUGCAUCUUGGUGAGCGUAGAAAAAUUUUAAAUUAUGCUACGAUUCCCAACAGUGGCAUCAUGAGCCAGGCCUAUGCGUAGUUACUAUGCACGAGUAGAACACAAAGAAGUUGUGGGCGUUGAGUUUGCCAAUUCUUCUUGCCGCUACUAGUCUUUUCUUGUUUCGGCGGCAUUGUAGGAUGAAGCGGUCCGGACCGACCUUACACGUACACUUACAUGAGACAGGUUCCACCGACUGACAUGCACUAGAUGCAUAAGGUGGCUAGCGGGUGUCUGUCUCUCCUACUUUAGUCGGAACGGAUUCGAUGAAAAGGGUCCUUAUGAAGGGUAAAUAGAAAUUGGCAAAUCACGUUGUGGUCAUACGUAGGUAAGAAACGUUCUUGCUACAAACCUACAAACCACGUAAAAAAACUUGCAAGAACAAUUAGAGGACGUCUAACUUGUUUUUACAGUGAGUGCUAUGUGAUGUGAUAUGGCCAGAAGAUGUGAUGAAUGAUAUAUGUGAUGUAUGAGAUUGAUCAUAUUCUUGUAUAGGAAUCACGACUUGCAUGUCGAUGAAGUAUGACAACCGGCAGGAGCCAUAGGAGUUGUCUUUAUUAUUUUGCAUCACCUGCGUGUCAUUGAAUAACGCCAUGUAAAUUACUUUACUUUGUUGCUAAACGCGUUAGCCAUAGAAGUAGAAGUAAUCGUUGGCGUGACGACUUCAUGAAGAGACAAUGAUGGAGAUCAUGAUGAUGGAGAUCAUGAUGAUGGAGAUCAUGGUGUCAUGCCGGUGACGAAGAUGAUCAUGGUGCCCCGAAGAUGGAGAUCAAAGGAGCAUGAUGAUAUUGGCCAUAUCAUGUCACUAUUUGAUUGCAUGUGAUGUUUAUCAUGUUUUUGCAUCUUAUUUGCUUAGAACGACGGUAGUAAGUAAGAUGAUCCCUUAUAAUAAUUUCAAGAAAGUGUUCACCCUAACUGUGCACCGUUGCGAAGGUUCGUUGUUUUGAAGCACCACGUGAUGAUCGGGUGUGAUAGAUUCUAACGUUCGAAUACAACGGGUGUUGACGAGCCUAGCAUGUACAGACAUGGCCUCGAAACACACGCAACACACUUAGGUUGACUUGACGAGCCUGGCAUGUACAGACAUGGCCUCGGAACACGGAGGACCGAAAGGUCGAGCAUGAGUCGUAUGGAAGAUACGAUCAACAUGGAGAUGUCGAUCUUGACUAGUCCGUCUCACGUGAUGAUCGGACACGGCCUAGUUAAACUCGGAUCAUGUUUCACUUAGAUGACUAGAGGGAUGUCUAUCUGAGUGGGAGUUCAUAAUCAGAUGAACUUCAUUAUCAUGAACAUAGUCAAAAAGGUAUUUGCAAAUUAUGUCAUAACUUGUGCUUUAGUUCUACUGGUUAAGAUAUGUUCCUAGAGAAAAUUUAGUUGAAAGUUGGUAGUAGCAAUUAUGCGGACUGGGUCCGUAAACUGAGGAUUGUCCUCAUUGCUGCACAGAAGGCUUAUGUCCUUAAUGCACCGCUCGGUGUGCUGAACCUCAGCGUCGUCUGUAGAUGUUACGAAACAUCUGACAUACACAUUUUGAUGACUACGUGAUAGUUCAGUGCGGUUUAGAAUUGUGGCACCAAAGACUUUUUUGAAACGUCGCAGAACAUGUGAGAUGUUCCAAAGACUGAAAUUGGGAUUUCAGACUAGUGCCCACGUCAAGAGGUAUGAGACCUCUGACAAGUUUCUUAAGCCUGCAAACUAAGGGAGAAAAGCUCAAUCGUUGAGCAUGUGCUCAGAUUGUCUGAGUGCCACAAUCGCUCGAAUCGAGUGGGAGUUAAUCUCCCAGAUGAGAUAGUGAUAGUUCUCCAUAGUCACUGCCACCAAGCUAGUAGAGCUUCGUGAUGAACUAUAACAUAUCAAGGAUAGUUAUGAUGAUCCUUGAGCUAUUCGCGAUGUUUGACACCGCGAGAGUAGAAAUCAAGAAGGAGCAUCAAUUGUUGAUGGUUAGUAAAACCACUAGUUUAAGAAGGGCAAGGGCAAAAGGGAUACUUCAUGAAACAACAAGUCGUUUGCUGCUCUAGUGAAGAAUCCCAAGGUUGAACCCAAACCCGAGACUAAGUGCUUCUGUAAUGAGAGGAACGGUCACUGAAGCAGUACUACCCUAGAUACUUGGUAGAUGAGAAGGCAGGCAAGGUCGACAGAAGUAUAUUGGAUAUACGUUAUAUGAAUGUGUACUUUACUAGUACUCCUAGCAGCACCAGGGUAUUAGAUACCGGUUCGGUUGCUAAGUGUUAGUAACUCGAAAUAAAAGCUGCGGAAUAAACAGAGACUAGCUAAAGGUGAGAUGACGAUAUGUGUUGGAAGUGUUUCCAAGGUUGAUGUGAUCAAGCAUCGCAUGCUCCCUCUACCAUCGAGAUUGGGGUUAAACCUGAAUAAUUGUUAUUUGGUGUUUGCGUUGAGCAUAGACAUGAUUGGAUUAUGUUUAUCGCAAUACGGUUAUUCAUUAAAGGAGAAUAAUUGUACUCUGUCUAUUUGAAUAAUACCUUCCAUGGUCUUGCACCUAAAAUGAAUGGUUUAUUGAAUCUCGAUCGUAGUGAUACACAUGUUCAUGCCAAAAGAUAUAAAAUAGUAAUGAUAGUACCACAUACUUGUGGCACUGCCAUUUGAGUCAUAUUGGUAUAAAACGCAUGAAGAAGCUCCAUGUUGAUGGAUCUUUGGACUCACUCGUUUUUGAAAAGAUUGAGACAUGCGAACCAUGUCUAUUGGUAUAUAUGCAUGAAGAAACUCCAUGCAGAUGGAUCGUUUGGACUCACUUGAUUAUGAAUCACUUGAGACAUGCAGACAAUACCACAUGGGCAAGAUGACUGAAAGUCCUCGUUUUCAGUAAGAUGGAACAAGAGAGCAACUUAUUGGAAGUAAUACAUUUUGAUGUACGCAGUCCAAUGAGUGCUGAGGCAUGCAGUGGAUAUCGUUAUGUUCUUACUUCACAGAUGAUUUGAGUAGAUGCUGAGUGUAUUUACUUGAUGAAACACUAGUCUGAAUUAUUGAAAGGUUCAAGUAAUUUCAGAGUGAAGUUGAAGAUCGUCGUGACAAGAGGAUAAAAUGUCUGUGAUAUGAUCAUAGAGAUGAGUAUCUGAGAUACGAGUUUGGCACACAAUUGAGACAUUGUGGAAAGUGUUUCACAAUUAAUACCGCCUGGAACACCAUAGUGUGAUGGUGUGUCCGAACAUCAUAACUGCACCCUAUUGGAUAUGGUGCAUACCAUGAUGUUUCUUAUCGAAUUACCACUAUCGUUUAUGGGUUAGGCAUUAGAGACAACCACAUUCACUUUAAAAGGGGCACCACGCAAUUCCGUUGAGACGACACCAUUUAGAGAAACCUAAGUUGUCGUUUCUUAAAAGUUUGGGGCUGCGAUGCUUAUGUGAAAAAGUUUCAGGCUGAUAAGCUCGAACCCAAAGCGGAUAAAUGCAUCUUCAUAGAAUACCCAAAACAGUUGGCUAUACCUCCUUUUUCAGAUCUGGAAGCAAAAGUAAUUGCUUCUAAAAACGAGUCCUUUCUCGAGGAAAAGUUUCUCUCGAAAGAAUUGAGUGGGAGGAUGGUGGAGACUUGAUAAGGUUAUUGAACCGUCGCUUCAACUAGUGUGUAGCAGGGCACAGGAGGUUGUUCCUGUGGCACCUACACCAAUUGAAGUGGAAGCUUAUGAUAGUGAUCAUGAAACUUCGGAUCAAGUCACUUCCAAACCUCGUAGGACGACGAGGAUGCGCACUACUUCAGAGUAAUGCGUGAUCCUGUCUUGGAAGUCAUGUUGCUAGACAACAAUGAACCUACGAGCUAUGGAGAAGCGAUGGUGGGCCCAUAUUCCGACGAAUGGCUCGAGGCCAUGAAAUCCGAGAUAGAAUCCAUGUAUCAGAACAAAGCAUGGACUUUGGUGAACUUUCCCGAUGAUCGGCAAGCCAUUGAGAUAAAUGGAUCUUUAAGAAGAAGACGGACAUGGACGUUAAUGUUACCGUCUAUGAAGCUCGACUUGUGGCAAAGAGUAUUUUCACAAGUUCAAGGAGUUGACUACGAUGAGUUUUUCUCAUCCGUAGCGAUGCUUAGGUCCGUCGGAAUCAUGUUAGCAUUGGCUGCAUUUAUGAAAUCUGGCAGAUGGAUGUCAAAACAAGUUUCCUUACCAGUUUUCGUAAGGAAAGGUUGUAUGUGAUACAAUCAGAAAGGUUUUGUCGAUCCUAAGGAUGCUAAAAGGUAUGCUAGCUCCAGCGAUCCUUCCAUGGAUUAGAGCAAGCAUCUCGGAGUCAGAAUAUACGCUUUGAUGGAGUGAUCAAAGUUUUUGGGUUUAUGCAAAGUUUGUUAGAAACUUGUAUUUACAAUAAAGUGAGUGGGAGCGCUACAACAUUUCUGAUAAGUAUAUGUGAAUGACAUAUUGUUGAUCCGAAAUGAUGUAAAAUUUCUGGAAAGCAUAAAGGGUUGUUUGAAAGGAGUUUUUCAAAGGAAGACCUGGAUAAAGCUGCUUACAUAUUGGGCAUCAAGAUCCAUAGAGAUAGAUCAAGACGCCUGAUGAUACUUUCAAAAGACAGCACACCUUGACAUGAUUUUGAAAGAGUUCAAAAUAGAUCAGCAAAGAAGGAGUUCUUGGCUGUGUUACAAGGUGUGAGCAUUGAGUAAGACUCAAGACCUGACCACAGCAGAAGAGAGAGAAAGGACGAAGGUCGUCCCCUAUGCUUCAGACGUAGGCUCUACAGUAUGCUAUGCUGUGUACCGCACAUGAAGUGUGCCUUGCCAUGAGUUGGUCAAGGGGUACAAUAGUGAUCCGGGAAUGGAUCACAUGACAGUGGUCGAACUUAUCCUUAGUAUCUAGUGGACUAAGGAAUUUUCUCGAUUAUGGAGGUGAAAAGGAGUUCGUCGUAAAGGGUUACGUCGAUGCGAACUUUGACACUAAUCCGGAUGACUCUGAGUAGUAAACCGGAUUCGUAUAGUAGAGCAAUUAUUUGAAAUGGCUCCAAAUAGCGCGUGGUAGCAUCCACAAGAUGACAUAGAUAUUCGUAAAGCACACGGUUCUAAAAGGUUCAGACCCGUUGACUAAUAACCUCUCUCACAAGCAUAACAUUAUCAAACCAGAACACAUUGAGUGUUAAUCACAUAAUGAUGUGAACUAGAUUGUUGACUCUAGUAAACUCUUUAGAUGUUGGUCACAUGGUGAUGUGACCUGUCAGUGUUAAUCACAUGGUGAUGUGAACUAGAUUAUUGACUCUAGUGCAAGUGGGAGACUGUUGGAAAUAUGCCCUAGAGGCAAUAAUAAAUUGGUUAUUAUUAUAUUUCCUUGUUCAUGAUAAUCGUUUAUUAUCCAUGCUAAAAUUGUAUUGAUAGGAAACUCAGAUACAUGUGUGGAUACAUAGACAACACCAUGUCCCUAGUAAGCCUCUAGUUGACUAGCUCGUUGAUCAAUAGAUGGUUACGGUUUCCUGACCAUGGACAUUGGAUGUCGUUGAUAACGGGAUCACAUCAUUAGGAGAAUGAUGUGAUGGACAAGACCCAAUCCUAAGCAUAGCAUAAAAGAUCGUGUAGUUUCGUUUGCUAGAGCUUUUCCAAUGUCAAGUAUCUUUGCCUUAGACCAUGAGAUCGUGCAACUCCCGGAUACCGUAGGAGUGCCUUGGGUGUGCCAAACGUCACAACGUAACUGGGUGACUAUAAAGGUGCACUACGGGUAUCUCCGAAAGUGUCUGUUGGGUUGGCACGGAUCGAGACUGGGAUUUGUCACUCCGUGUAACGGAGAGGUAUCUCUGGGCCCACUCGGUAAUGCAUCAUCAUAAUGAGCUCAAUGUGACUAAGGCAUUAGUCAUGGGAUCAUGCAUUGCGGUACGAGUAAAGAGACUUGCCGGUAACGAGAUUGAACAAGGUAUUGGGAUACCGACGAUCGAAUCUCGGGCAAGUAACAUACCGAUUGACAAAGGGAAUUGCAUACGGGAUUGAUUGAAUCCUCGACACCGUGGUUCAUCCGAUGAGAUCAUCGUGGAACAUGUGGGAGCCAACAUGGGUAUCCAGAUCCCGCUGUUGGUUAUUGACCGGAGAGGUGUCUCGGUCAUGUCUGCAUGUCUCCCGAACCCGUAGGGUCUACACACUUAAGGUUCGGUGACGCUAGGGUUGUAGAGAUAUAUGUAUGCGGAAACCCGAAAGUUGUUCGAAGUCCCGGAUGAGAUCCCGGACGUCACGAGAGGUUCCGGAAUGGUCCGGAGGUGAAGAAUUAUAUAUAGGAAGUCAAGUUUCGGCCACCGGGAAAGUUUCGGGGGGUUACCGGUAUUGUACCGGGACCACCGGAAGGGUCCCGGGGGUCCACCGGGUGGGGCCACCUAUCCCGGAGGGCCCCGUGGGCUGAAACUGGAAGGGAACCAGCCCCUAGUGGGCUGGGCGCCCCCCAUGGGCCUCCCCCCAUGCGCCUAGGGUUAGGAACCCUAGGGUGGGGGGACUUCCCCCUUGCCUUGGGGGGCAAGGCACCCCUUUCCACUCCUUGGCCGGUCCCCCCUCCCAAGGGGGCCUAUAUAAAGGGGGGGAGGGAGGGCAGCAACCAACAGCCUUGGGCGCCUCCCUCCUCCCCUGCAACACCUCUCUCUCUCGCAGAAGCUUGGCGAAGCCCUGCCGGAGACCCGCUGCAUCCACCACCACGCCGUCGUGCUGCUGGAUCUCCAUCAACCUCUCCUUCCCCCUUGCUGGAUCAAGAAGGAGGAGACGUCGCUGCACCGUACGUGUGUUGAACGCGGAGGUGUCGUCCGUUCGGCACUCGGUCAUCGGUGAUUUGGAUCACGGCGAGUACGACUCCGUCAUCCACGUUCAUUGGAACGCUUCCGCUCGCGAUCUACAAGGGUAUGUAGAUGCACUCUCUUCCCCUCGUUGCUAGUAGACUCCAUAGAUGCAUCUUGGUGAGCGUAGGAAAAUUUUAAAUUAUGCUACGAUUCCCAACAGUGGCAUCAUGAGCCAGGCCUAUGCGUAGUUACUAUGCACGAGUAGAACACAAAGAAGUUGUGGGCGUUGAGUUUGCCAAUUCUUCUUGCCGCUACUAGUCUUUUCUUGUUUCGGCGGCAUUGUAGGAUGAAGCGGCCCGGACCGACCUUACACGUACACUUACGUGAGACAGGUUCCACCGACUGACAUGCACUAGAUGCAUAAGGUGGCUAGCGGGUGUCUGUCUCUCCUACUUUAGUCGGAACGGAUUCGAUGAAAAGGGUCCUUAUGAAGGGUAAAUAGAAAUUGGCAAAUCACGUUGUGGUCAUACGUAGGUAAGAAACGUUCUUGCUAGAAACCUACAAACCACGUAAAAAAACUUGCAAGAACAAUUAGAGGACGUCUAACUUGUUUUUGCAGUGAGUGCUAUGUGAUGUGAUAUGGCCAGAAGAUGUGAUGAAUGAUAUAUGUGAUGUAUGAGAUUGAUCAUAUUCUUGUAUAGGAAUCACGACUUGCAUGUCGAUGAAGUAUGACAACCGGCAGGAGCCAUAGGAGUUGUCUUUAUUAUUUUGCAUCACCUGCGUGUCAUUGAAUAACGCCAUGUAAAUUACUUUACUUUGUUGCUAAACGCGUUAGCCAUAGAAGUAGAAGUAAUCGUUGGCGUGACGACUUCAUGAAGAGACAAUGAUGGAGAUCAUGAUGAUGGAGAUCAUGAUGAUGGAGAUCAUGGUGUCAUGCCGGUGACGAAGAUGAUCAUGGUGCCCCGAAGAUGGAGAUCAAAGGAGCAUGAUGAUAUUGGCCAUAUCAUGUCACUAUUUGAUUGCAUGUGAUGUUUAUCAUGUUUUUGCAUCUUAUUUGCUUAGAACGACGGUAGUAAGUAAGAUGAUCCCUUAUAAUAAUUUCAAGAAAGUGUUCACCCUAACUGUGCACCGUUGCGAAGGUUCGUUGUUUUGAAGCACCACGUGAUGAUCGGGUGUGAUAGAUUCUAACGUUCGAAUACAACGGGUGUUGACGAGCCUAGCAUGUACAGACAUGGCCUCGAAACACACGCAAUACACUUAGGUUGACUUGACGAGCCUGGCAUGUACAGACAUGGCCUCGGAACACGGAGGACCGAAAGGUCGAGCAUGAGUCGUAUGGAAGAUACGAUCAACAUGGAGAUGUCGAUCUUGACUAGUCCGUCUCACGUGAUGAUCGGACACGGCCUAGUUAAAAUCGGAUCAUGUUUCACUUAGAUGACUAGAGGGAUGUCUAUCUGAGUGGGAGUUCAUAAUCAGAUGAACUUCAUUAUCAUGAACAUAGUCAAAAAGGUAUUUGCAAAUUAUGUCAUAACUUGCGCUUUAGUUCUACUGGUUAAGAUAUGUUCCUAGAGAAAAUUUAGUUGAAAGUUGGUAGUAGCAAUUAUGCGGACUGGGUCCGUAAACUGAGGAUUGUCCUCAUUGCUGCACAGAAGGCUUAUGUCCUUAAUGCACCGCUCGGUGUGCUGAACCUCAGCGUCGUCUGUAGAUGUUACGAAACAUCUGACAUACACAUUUUGAUGACUACGUGAUAGUUCAGUGCGGUUUAGAAUUGUGGCACCAAAGACUUUUUUGAAACGUCGCAGAACAUGUGAGAUGUUCCGAAGACUGAAAUUGGGAUUUCAGACUAGUGCCCACGUCAAGAGGUAUGAGACCUCUGACAAGUUUCUUAAGCCUGCAAACUAAGGGAGAAAAGCUCAAUCGUUGAGCAUGUGCUCAGAUUGUCUGAGUGCCACAAUCGCUCGAAUCGAGUGGGAGUUAAUCUCCCAGAUGAGAUAGUGAUAGUUCUCCAUAGUCACUGCCACCAAGCUAGUAGAGCUUCGUGAUGAACUAUAACAUAUCAAGGAUAGUUAUGAUGAUCCUUGAGCUAUUCGCGAUGUUUGACACCGCGAGAGUAGAAAUCAAGAAGGAGCAUCAAUUGUUGAUGGUUAGUAAAACCACUAGUUUAAGAAGGGCAAGGGCAAAAGGGAUACUUCAUGAAACAACAAGUCGUUUGCUGCUCUAGUGAAGAAUCCCAAGGUUGAACCCAAACCCGAGACUAAGUGCUUCUGUAAUGAGAGGAACGGUCACUGAAGCAGUACUACCCUAGAUACUUGGUAGAUGAGAAGGCAGGCAAGGUCGACAGAAGUAUAUUGGAUAUACGUUAUAUGAAUGUGUACUUUACUAGUACUCCUAGCAGCACCAGGGUAUUAGAUACCGGUUCGGUUGCUAAGUGUUAGUAACUCGAAAUAAAAGCUGCGGAAUAAACAGAGACUAGCUAAAGGUGAGAUGACGAUAUGUGUUGGAAGUGUUUCCAAGGUUGAUGUGAUCAAGCAUCGCAUGCUCCCUCUACCAUCGAGAUUGGGGUUAAACCUGAAUAAUUGUUAUUUGGUGUUUGCGUUGAGCAUAGACAUGAUUGGAUUAUGUUUAUCGCAAUACGGUUAUUCAUUAAAGGAGAAUAAUUGUACUCUGUCUAUUUGAAUAAUACCUUCCAUGGUCUUGCACCUAAAAUGAAUGGUUUAUUGAAUCUCGAUCGUAGUGAUACACAUGUUCAUGCCAAAAGAUAUAAAAUAGUAAUGAUAGUACCACAUACUUGUGGCACUGCCAUUUGAGUCAUAUUGGUAUAAAACGCAUGAAGAAGCUCCAUGUUGAUGGAUCUUUGGACUCACUCGUUUUUGAAAAGAUUGAGACAUGCGAACCAUGUCUAUUGGUAUAUAUGCAUGAAGAAACUCCAUGCAGAUGGAUCGUUUGGACUCACUUGAUUAUGAAUCACUUGAGACAUGCAGACAAUACCACAUGGGCAAGAUGACUGAAAGUCCUCGUUUUCAGUAAGAUGGAACAAGAGAGCAACUUAUUGGAAGUAAUACAUUUUGAUGUACGCAGUCCAAUGAGUGCUGAGGCAUGCAGUGGAUAUCGUUAUGUUCUUACUUCACAGAUGAUUUGAGUAGAUGCUGAGUGUAUUUACUUGAUGAAACACUAGUCUGAAUUAUUGAAAGGUUCAAGUAAUUUCAGAGUGAAGUUGAAGAUCGUCGUGACAAGAGGAUAAAAUGUCUGUGAUAUGAUCAUAGAGAUGAGUAUCUGAGAUACGAGUUUGGCACACAAUUGAGACAUUGUGGAAAGUGUUUCACAAUUAAUACCGCCUGGAACACCAUAGUGUGAUGGUGUGUCCGAACAUCAUAACUACACCCUAUUGGAUAUGGUGCAUACCAUGAUGUUUCUUAUCGAAUUACCACUAUCGUUUAUGGGUUAGGCAUUAGAGACAACCACAUUCACUUUAAAAGGGGCACCACGCAAUUCCGUUGAGACGACACCGUUUAGAGAAACCUAAGUUGUCGUUUCUUAAAAGUUUGGGGCUGCGAUGCUUAUGUGAAAAAGUUUCAGGCUGAUAAGCUCGAACCCAAAGCGGAUAAAUGCAUCUUCAUAGAAUACCCAAAACAGUUGGGUAUACCUCCUUUUUCAGAUCUGGAAGCAAAAGUAAUUGCUUCUAGAAACGAGUCCUUUCUCGAGGAAAAGUUUCUCUCGAAAGAAUUGAGUGGGAGGAUGGUGGAGACUUGAUAAGGUUAUUCGACCGUCGCUUCAACUAGUGUGUAGCAGGGCACAGGAGGUUGUUCCUGUGGCACCUACACCAAUUGAAGUGGAAGCUUAUGAUAGUGAUCAUGAAACUUCGGAUCAAGUCACUUCCAAACCUCGUAGGACGACGAGGAUGCGCACUACUUCAGAGUAAUGUGUGAUCCUGUCUUGGAAGUCAUGUUGCUAGACAACAAUGAACCUACGAGCUAUGGAGAAGCGAUGGUGGGCCCAUAUUCCGACGAAUGGCUCGAGGCCAUGAAAUCCGAGAUAGAAUCCAUGUAUCAGAACAAAGCAUGGACUUUGGUGAACUUUCCCGAUGAUCGGCAAGCCAUUGAGAUAAAUGGAUCUUUAAGAAGAAGACGGACAUGGACGUUAAUGUUACCGUCUAUGAAGCUCGACUUGUGGCAAAGAGUAUUUUCACAAGUUCAAGGAGUUGACUACGAUGAGUUUUUCUCAUCCGUAGCGAUGCUUAGGUCCGUCGGAAUCAUGUUAGCAUUGGCUGCAUUUAUGAAAUCUGGCAGAUGGAUGUCAAAACAAGUUUCCUUACCAGUUUUCGUAAGGAAAGGUUGUAUGUGAUACAAUCAGAAAGGUUUUGUCGAUCCUAAGGAUGCUAAAAGGUAUGCUAGCUCCAGCGAUCCUUCCAUGGAUUAGAGCAAGCAUCUCGGAGUCAGAAUAUACGCUUUGAUGGAGUGAUCAAAGUUUUUGGGUUUAUGCAAAGUUUGUUAGAAACUUGUAUUUACAAUAAAGUGAGUGGGAGCGCUACAACAUUUCUGAUAAGUAUAUGUGAAUGACAUAUUGUUGAUCCGAAAUGAUGUAAAAUUUCUGGAAAGCAUAAAGGGUUGUUUGAAAGGAGUUUUUCAAAGGAAGACCUGGAUAAAGCUGCUUACAUAUUGGGCAUCAAGAUCCAUAGAGAUAGAUCAAGACGCCUGAUGAUACUUUCAAAAGACAGCACACCUUGACAUGAUUUUGAAAGAGUUCAAAAUAGAUCAGCAAAGAAGGAGUUCUUGGCUGUGUUACAAGGUGUGAGCAUUGAGUAAGACUCAAGACCUGACCACAGCAGAAGAGAGAGAAAGGACGAAGGUCGUCCCCUAUGCUUCAGACGUAGGCUCUACAGUAUGCUAUGCUGUGUACCGCACAUGAAGUGUGCCUUGCCAUGAGUUGGUCAAGGGGUACAAUAGUGAUCCGGGAAUGGAUCACAUGACAGCGGUCAAACUUAUCCUUAGUAUCUAGUGGACUAAGGAAUUUUCUCGAUUAUGGAGGUGAAAAGGAGUUCGUCGUAAAGGGUUACGUCGAUGCGAACUUUGACACUAAUCCGGAUGACUCUGAGUAGUAAACCGGAUUCGUAUAGUAGAGCUAUUAUUUGAAAUGGCUCCAAAUAGCGCGUGGUAGCAUCCACAAGAUGACAUAGAUAUUCGUAAAGCACACGGUUCUAAAAGGUUCAGACCCGUUGACUAAUAACCUCUCUCACAAGCAUAACAUUAUCAAACCAGAACACAUUGAGUGUUAAUCACAUAAUGAUGUGAACUAGAUUGUUGACUCUAGUAAACUCUUUAGAUGUUGGUCACAUGGUGAUGUGACCUGUCAGUGUUAAUCACAUGGUGAUGUGAACUAGAUUAUUGACUCUAGUGCAAGUGGGAGACUGUUGGAAAUAUGCCCUAGAGGCAAUAAUAAAUUGGUUAUUAUUAUAUUUCCUUGUUUAUGAUAAUCGUUUAUUAUCCAUGCUAAAAUUGUAUUGAUAGGAAACUCAGAUACAUGUGUGGAUACAUAGACAACACCAUGUCCCUAGUAAGCCUCUAGUUGACUAGCUCGUUGAUCAAUAGAUGGUUACGGUUUCCUGACCAUGGACAUUGGAUGUCGUUGAUAACGGGAUCACAUCAUUAGGAGAAUGAUGUGAUGGACAAGACCCAAUCCUAAGCAUAGCAUAAAAGAUCGUGUAGUUUCGUUUGCUAGAGCUUUUCCAAUGUCAAGUAUCUUUUCCUUAGACCAUGAGAUCGUGCAACUCCCGGAUACCGUAGGAGUGCCUUGGGUGUGCCAAACGUCACAACGUAACUGGGUGACUAUAAAGGUGCACUACGGGUAUCUCCGAAAGUGUCUGUUGGGUUGGCACGGAUCGAGACUGGGAUUUGUCACUCCGUGUGACGGAGAGGUAUCUCUGGGCCCACUCGGUAAUGCAUCAUCAUAAUGAGCUCAAUGUGACUAAGGCAUUAGUCAUGGGAUCAUGCAUUGCGGUACGAGUAAAGAGACUUGCCGGUAACGAGAUUGAACAAGGUAUUGGGAUAAGGACGAUCGAAUCUCGGGCAAGUAACAUACCGAUUGACAAAGGGAAUUGCAUACGGGAUUGAUUGAAUCCUCGACACCGUGGUUCAUCCGAUGAGAUCAUCAUGGAACAUGUGGGAGCCAACAUGGGUAUCCAGAUCCCGCUGUUGGUUAUUGACCGGAGAGGUGUCUCGGUCAUGUCUGCAUGUCUCCCGAACCCGUAGGGUCUACACACUUAAGGUUCGGUGACGCUAGGGUUGUAGAGAUAUAUGUAUGCGGAAACCCGAAAGUUGUUCGGAGUCCCGGAUGAGAUCCCGGACGUCACGAGAGGUUCCAGAAUGGUCCGGAGGUGAAGAAUUAUAUAUAGGAAGUCAAGUUUCGGCCACCGGGAAAGUUUCGGGGGGUUACCGGUAUUGUACCGGGACCACCGGAAGGGUCCCGGGGGUCCACCGGGUGGGGCCACCUAUCCCGGAGGGCCCCGUGGGCUGAAACUGGAAGGGAACCAGCCCCUAGUGGGCUGGGCGCCCCCAUGGGCCUCCCCCCAUGCGCCUAGGGUUAGGAACCCUAGGGUGGGGGGACUUCCCCCUUGCCUUGGGGGGCAAGGCACCCCUUUCCACUCCUUGGCCGGUCCCCCCUCCCAAGGGGGCCUAUAUAAAGGGGGGGAGGGAGGGCAGCAACCAACAGCCUUGGGCGCCUCCUUCCUCCCCUGCAACACCUCUCUCUCUCUCGCAGAAGCUUGGCGAAGCCCUGCCGGAGACCCGCUGCAUCCACCACCACGCCGUCGUGCUGCUGGAUCUCCAUCAACCUCUCCUUCCCCCUUGCUGGAUCAAGAAGGAGGAGACGUCGCUGCACCGUACGUGUGUUGAACGCGGAGGUGUCGUCCGUUCGGCACUCGGUCAUCGGUGAUUUGGAUCACGGCGAGUACGACUCCGUCAUCCACGUUCAUUGGAACGCUUCCGCUCGCGAUCUACAAGGGUAUGUAGAUGCACUCUCUUCCCCUUGUUGCUAGUAGACUCCAUAGAUGCAUCUUGGUGAGCGUAGGAAAAUUUUAAAUUAUGCUACGAUUCCCAACAAUGAUUACCGUACCACUCUGGUGCGGAUUGUGCUCUGGUUGAUCUACGAAGUUCUGUAGUAACUUGAUCCGAAGUUUUAUGAUCAUCAUCAUUAACUUCCUCAGUAAUUGGUGUACGCAUCACUGGAACUGAUUUCUGUGUUGAACUAUUCUCCAAUUCGGGAGAAGGUACAAUUACCUCAUCAAGUUUUACUUUCCUCCCACUCACUUCUUUCGAGAGAAACUCCUUCUCUAGAAAGGAUCCAUUCUUAGCAACGAAUGUCUUGCCUUCAGAUCUGUGAUAGAAGGUGUACCCAAAAGUCUCCUUUGGGUAUCCUAUGAAGACACAUUUUUCCGAUUUGGGUUUGAGCUUUAUCAGGAUGAAACUUUUUCAUAUAAGCAUCGUAACCCAAACUUUAAGAAACGACAACUUUGGUUUCUUGCCAAACCACAGUUCAUAUGGUGUCGUCUCAAACGAAUUUAGAUGGUGCCCCUUUUUUACGUGAAUGCAGCUGUCUCUAAUGCAUAACCCCAAAACUAUAGUGGUAAAUCGGUAAGAAACAUCAUAGAUUGCACUAUAUCCAAUAAAGUACGGUUAUGACGUUCGGACACACCAUUAUGCUGUGGUGUUCCAGGUGGCACGAAUUUGUGAAACUAUUCCACAUUGUUUUAAUUGAAGACCAAACUCAUAACUCAAAUAUUUGUCUCCGCGAUCAGAUCGUAGAAACCUUAUUUUCUUGUCACGAUGAUUUUCCACUUCACUCUGAAAUUCUUUGAACUUUUCAAAUAUUUCAGACUUAUGUUUCAUCAAGUAGAUACACCCAUAUCUGCUCAAAUCCUCUGUGAAGAUCAGAAAAUAACGAUACCCGCCGCGAGCCUCAACACUCAUCGGAUCGCAUACAUCAGUGUGUAUUAUUUCCAAUAAGUUAGUUGCUCGCUCCAUUGUUCCGGAGAACGGAGUCUUAGUCAUCUUGCCCAUAGCAUGGUUCGCAAGCAUCAAGUGAUUCAUAAUCAAGUGAUUCCAAAAGCCCAUCGGCAUGGAGUUUCUUCAUGCGCUUUACAUCAAUAUAACCAAAACGGCAGUGCCACAAAUAAGUUGCACUAUCAUUAUUAACUUUGCAUCUUUUGGCUUCAAUAUUAUGAAUAUGUGUAUCACUACGAUCGAGAUCCAACAAACCAUUUUCAUUGGGUGUAUGACCAUAGAAGGUUUUAUUCAUGUAAAUAGAACAACAAAUAUUCUCUAACUUAAAUGAAUAACUGUAUUGCAAUAAACAAGAUCAAAUCAUAUUCAUGCUCAACGCAAACACCAAAUAACACUUAUUUAGGUUCAACACUAAUCCCGAAAGUGUAGGGAGCGUGCGAUGAUGAUCAUAUCAAUCUUGGAACCACUUCCAACACACAUGGUCAGUUCACCCUUAACUAGUCUCUGUUCAUUCUGCAACUCCUAUUUCGAGUUACUACUCUUAGUAACUGAACCAGUAUCAAAUACCGAGGGGUUGCUACGAACACUAGUAAAAUACACAUCAAUAAUCUGUAUAUCAAAUAUACCUUUGUUCACUUUGCCAUCCUUCUUAUCCGCCAAAAUACUUGGGGCAGUUCCUCUUCCAGUGACCAGUCCCUUUGCAGUAGAAGCACUUAGUCUCAGGCUUAGGACCAGACUUGGGCUUCUUCACUUGAGCAGCAACUUGCUUGCCGUUCUUCUUGAAGUUCCCCUUCUUCCCUUUGCCGUUUUCUUGAAACUAGUGGUCUCGUCAACCAUCAACACUUGAUGUUUUCUUGAUUUCUACCUUCGUCGAUUUCAGCAUCACGAAGAGCUUGGGAAUUGUUUCCGUUAUCCCUUGCAUAUUAUAGUUCAUCACGAAGUUCUACUAACUUGGUGAUGGUGACUAGAGAAUUCUGCCAAUCACUAUCUUAUCUGGAAGAUCAACUCCCACUUGAUUCAAGCGAUUGUAGUACCCAGACAAUCUGAGCACAUGCUUACUGCUUGAGCUAUUCUCCUCCAUCUUUUAGCUAUAGAACUUGUUGGAGACUUCAUAUCUCUCAACUCGGGUAUUUGCUUGAAAUAUUAACUUCAACUCCUGGAACAUCUCAUAUGGUCCAUGACGUUCAAAACGUCUUUGAAGUCCCGAUUCUAAGCCGUUAAGCAUGGUGCACUAAACUAUCAAGUAGUCAUCAUAUUGAGCUAGCCAAACGUUCAUAACGUCUGCAUCUGCUCCUGCAAUAGGUCUGUCACCUAGCGGUGCAUCAAGGACAUAAUUCUUCUGUGCAGCAAUGAGGAUAAUCCUUAGAUCACGGAUCCAAUCCGCAUCAUUGCUACUAACAUCUUUCAACAUAAUUUUUCUCUAGGAACAUAUCAAAAAUAAACACAGGGAAGCAACAACGCGAGCUAUUGAUCUACAACAUAAUUUGCAAAAUACUAUCAGGACUAAGUUCAUGAUAAAUUUAAGUUCAAUUAAUCAUAUUACUUAAGAACUCCCACUUAGAUAGACAUCCCUCUAAUCCUCUAAGUGAUCACGUGAUCCAUAUCAACUAAACCAUGUCCGAUCAUCACGUGAGACGGAGUAGUUUCAACGGUGAACAUCACUAUGUUGAUCAUAUCUACUAUAUGAUUCACGCUCGACCUUUCGGUCUCCGUGUUCCGAGGCCAUAUCUGCUAUAUGCUAGGCUCGUCAAGCUUAACCUUAGUAUUCCGCGUGUGCAACUGUUUUGCACCCGUUGUAUUUGAACGUAGAGCCUAUCACACCCGAUCAUCACAUGGUGUCUCAGCACGAAGAACUUUCGCAACGGUUCAUACUCAGGGAGAACACUUAUACUUUGAUAAUUUAGUGAGGGAUCAUCUUAUAAUGCUACCGUCAAUCAAAGCAAGAUAAGAUGCAUAAAAGGUAAACAUCAUAAGCAAUCAAUAUAAGUGAUAUGAUAUGGCCAUCAUCAUCUUGUGCUUGUGAUCUCCAUCUCCGAAGCACCGUCAGGAUCACCAUCGUCACCGGCGCGACACCUUGAUCUCCAUCGUAGUAUCGUUGUCGUCUCGCCAACUAUUGCUUCUACGACUAUCGCUACCGCUUAGUGAUAAAGUAAAGCAAUUACAGGGCGAUUGCAUUGCAUACAAUAAAGCGACAACCAUAUGGCUCCUGCCAGUUGCCGAUAACUCGGUUAAAAAACAUGAUCAUCUCAUACAAUAAAAUUUAGCAUCAUGUCUUGACCAUAUCACAUCACAACAUGCCCUGCAAAAACAAGUUAGACGUCCUCUACUUUGUUGUUGCAAGUUUUACGUGGCUACUACGGGCUUAGCAAGAACUGUUCUCACCUAUGCAUCAAAACCACAAUGAUAGUUUGUCAAGUUGGUGUUGUUUUAACCUUCGCAAGGACCGGGCGUAGCCACACUCGGUUCAACUAAAGUUGGAGAAACUGACACCCGCCAGCCACCUCUGUGCAAAGCACGUCGGAAGAACCAGUCUCGCAUAAGCGUACGCGUAAUGUCGGUCCGGGCCGCUUCAUCCAACAAUACCGCCGAACCAAAGUAUGACAUGCUGGUAAGCAGUAUGACUUAUAUCGCCCACAACUCACUUGUGUUCUACUCGUGCAUAUAACAUCAACGCAUAAAACCAGGCUCGGAUGCCACUGUUGGGGAACGUAGUAAUUUCAAAAAUUUCCUACGCACACGCAAGAUCAUGGUGAUGCAUAGCAACGAGAGGGGAGAGUGUUGUCUACGUACCCUCGUAGACCGUAAGCGGAAGCGUUAUAUGAACGCGGUUGAUGUAGUCGUACGUCUUCACGAUCCAAGUACCGAAAGCACGGCACCUCCGAGUUCUGCACACGUUCGGCUCGGAGACGUCCUCGCCUUCUCGAUCCAGCAAGAGGGGCGUAGUAGUAGAUGAGUUCCGGCAACACGACGGCGUGGUGACGGUGUUGGUGAAGAACAAUCUUCGCAGGGCUUCGCCUAAGCACUACGAAAAUAUGACAGAGGAUAAACUAGAGGGGACGGGUUUGCCGGCACACGGCUUGGUGUUUCUUGAUCUCUCUUGGGUGCUAGCCCUACCCCUCUAUUUAUAUGUUGAGCCUUGGGGUCGAAACUUGGAGUAAAAGCCUCCACAAAGUCGGUUUCACCCGAAAGGCAAGAGUCCUUCUCGGACUCCAAGGCUAGACGCCAGGGUUCCCGUCGUCUGGACCCAGAUGCCAGGGACCCUGGCGUCUGGCCCCUGGACUCAAAACUUCCUUUUGCGCUUUCCAAAACCCUCGUGGGCUUUCCCCUUUGGCCCAGAUAAAGUGUUCUCGUGCCCAAACAUUUCGGGAAACAUCCGGAACCCCUUCCGAUGGAUUCCGGAACCUUUCCGGAGGUCAAACACUACUAUCCACAUAUCAAUCUUUACUUCCGGACCAUUCCAGAGUUCCUCGUCAUAUCCGUGAUCUCAUCCAAAACUCCGAACAACAUUCGGUCACCAACAUACAUAACUAAUAGUACUAUAUCGUCAAUGAACGUUAAGCGUGCGGACCCUAAGGGUUCGAGAACUAUGUAGACAUGACCGAGACAACUCUCUUGUCAAUAACCAAUAGCGGGACCUGGAUGCCCAUAUUGGCUCCUACAUAUUCUAUGAAGAUCUUUGUCGGUCAGACCGCAUAACAACAUACGUUGUUCCCUUUGUCAUCGGUAUGUUACUUGCCCGAGAUUCGAUCGUCUGUAUCUCAAUACCUAGUUCAAUCUCGUUACCGGCAAGUCUCUUUACUCGUUCUGUAAUACAUCAUCCCGCAACUAACUCAUUAGUUGCAAUGCUUGCAAGGCUUAUAGUGAUGUGCAUUACCGAGUGGGCCCAGAGAUACGUCCCCGACAAUCGGAGUGACAAAUCCUAAUCUCUAAAUACGCCAACCCAACAAGUACCUUCGGAGACACCUGUAGAGCACCUUUAUAAUCACCCAGUUACGUUGUGACGUUUGGUAGCACACAAAGUGUUCCUCCGGUAAACAGGAGUUGCAUAAUCUCAUAGUCAUUGGAACAUGUAUAAGUCAUGAAGAAAGCAAUAGCAACAUACUAAACGAUCGAGUGCUAAGCUAACGGAAUGGGUCAAGUCAAUCACAUCAUUCUCCUAAUGAUGUGAUCCCGUUAAUCAAAUGACAACUCAUGUCUAUGGCUAGGAAACAUAACCAUCUUUGAUCAACGAGCUAGUCAAGUAGAGGCAUACUAGUGACACUCUGUUUGUCUAUGUAUUCACACAUGUAUUAUGUUUCCGGUUAAUACAAUUCUAGCAUGAAUAAUAAACAUUUAUCAUGAUAUAAGGAAAUAAAUAAUAACUUUAUUAUUGCCUCUAGGGCAUAUUUCCUUCAGUCCGAUGUGCAAUGCUUCUCGAUACAAGAAAGCCGGAAGAAAUCUCCCCAGAAAGUUGUAUGGUACUUACCGAUCACUCCCCGUCUCCAGCGGUAUUUCAUAGAUCCCAAGGAAGCAAAGCUCAUGCGCUGGCACGCGGAGAGGAGGAAGCCCGACGAUGGAGAUGAUCCGAAGCUGAGACACAUCAAGUAUGGAAGCUAGUGGAGAGCGUUCAACGGCGAAUAUCGGUAUUUCGAAUGUGAUGCAAGGAACAUCGUGCUAGGCGCGUGUACCGAUGGCUUGAGUCCGUUUGGCAACCAAAACACCAACCAUAGCACAUGGCCCGUGUUUGUAUGGAUGUACAACCUCCCCCCUGGUUGUGCAUGAAGUUGAAGUACAUACACAUGAACAUGCUGAUUCAAGGGCCGAAACAACUGGGAAAUAAUAUUAAUAUGUAUGUGGGGCUACUUCAAGAGGAGUUAGACACGUUAUGGAAAACACCGGCCAAGACAUGGGACGCCGGCAAAGGCGCGUAUUUCUAUAUGAGAGCCGCGCUGAUCAUGACGGUGCACGACUAUCUCGGUUACGGAUAUGUCGCAGGCCAGGUGUGCCAUGGAUAUUGCGGAUGCACGCGGUGCAUGGAUGAUACAACGUCUCAGCAGCUAACGUCAAGGAAAGAUGGCGGGUCUGGGAAAAUCGUGUACAUGGGGCAUCAAAGAUGGCUCGAGAAGGACGACCCAUGGAGAAACCGUGAGAUCUAUUCAAUGGUGAGGCUGAGCAUUGAGGACCUCCACGUAAGCGGAGCGACGCCGAAAUCGAUGAGCUGUUGAAAAACUGGGAACAGUGCCCUGCGCCGGGAAAGACGAUGAAUAAGGCGCCGGAGCCGCUGCUGAAGGUAUGGAAGACGAGGUCUGUUUUCUGGGACUUGGAGUACUGGCACAAACUCGACACACCUCAUUGCCUUGAUCAAAUGCAUAUAUGUAAGAAUGUCCUUGAGAGGUUGCUUGCGACACUGAUGAACAUGCCGGAUAAGACCAAGGAUGGGCCGAAGGCAAGAAAAGACUUGCAAGAUUUGAAAAUCAGGGAAGAUCUGUACAUGCCGCCCCGUAAAAAGUCAGAGGAGGCAGAGACAGAGACAGAGGCACGGGAGAAGAAGGGAAAAAAGUAAAGGAAGAGGAUUAUUGCCCCCCUUCUUACUUCACCUUAAGUCCGGCUGAGAUCGAUCAAUUCUUCAAGUGCCUUACUGGAGUCAAAGUUAGUUCUGGUUACUGUGGCAAGAUAAGCAGAUAUCUAGACACGCAGAAGAAAAUGUUCAGGGGGAUGAAGUCCCAUGACUGUCAUGUGAUGAUGACACAGAUACUACCUGUUGCCCUUAGAGGGAUAAUGGACAAGCACGCCCGUGACACGCUUAUCGGUCUCUGCAACUUUUCGACGUUAUCUCUCGAAAGUCGAUUAGUGUGAAUCAGCUCCGAAGGCUACAGGAAGAGAUUAUUAUGAUACUAAAUGAGCUUGAGAUGUACUUCCCGCCCGCGUUCUUUGACGUCAUGGUGCACCUGUGUGUCCAUAUUGUGGACGACAUAAUAGACCUGGGGCCAUCAUUCCUGCACAACAUGAUGCCGUUUGAGAGGAUGAAUGGGAUCAUCAAAGGAUUCGUUUGUAACAUGUUCCGUCCGGAUGGAAGCAUCGUCCAGGGCUAUCUGACACAAGAGUGCAUCUCUUUCUGCGAGAAUUUUCUAUAUGGUGCAGACCAGCCACCAGGUGUUGGUUUGCCCGUUAACAAGCACAAUGGGAGGCUCGAAGGAGAAGGUCACUCCAACGGUCGCAGGGAACUGCACGUGGCCUACUCAGAUCGACGCAACGACUUUGACAAAGCAAACUUGGUUGUGCUACAACACCUAGACCAGGUAGAUCCUUUCGCGACACUUCCUUUCGCGGCAUUGCACAAAGAAACUAUCGCAAAGAAGUAUCGUGACCGGGUGGUAUGCAGGACGGACGCCGAAGUUACUAGAGAGCACAACUCCACUUUCCUGCAUUGGUUCAAAGAGCAUAUUAUUGCUAAUCCCCCAGAAGAGGGCUCUAAGGACGAAUUACUCAUAUACGCCUUAGCACAUGGCCCCUCGCCCAACCUCGUCACCUACCAGGAUUACGAUAUCAACGGAUACAAGUUCUACACAGAGGCCAAAGAUAUGGACAGUGAUGAUCAGAACUCAGGGGUGACGAUGGAAUGCAUGACCGGCAGCGAUAACGGCGCAACUGAGAGAUUUUGCGGAAGGGUUGAGGAGAUCUGGGAGCUUGACUACUCUGGACUGCACAACGCGACGAUGUUCCGUGUCAGAUGGGCUAAAAAUGUCGAAAGAGAAAACCGGUAUUUCAGUACCAUGACUAUACCCGACGCCAAGAGCACUAACCGUGAACGCUAUCGCAAAAAAUGAGCCAUGGGUACACGCUAAGCACGUGACACAAUGCUUCUUCAAAACCGACCCGUGCAAUCCCAGCUGUGUUGUCGUGAGGAGAGGCAAAAGGAACAUCAUUGGAAUGGAUGGAGUCACCAACGAGGAAGACUACAAUGAGGGAAGAUGACAGUGACGAUGAAGUAUACGUCAAAAGAAGAAUCAAUACUACAUUACCUAAGAAAGAUCGUACUCCAUGGAAAAGGAAAAGACACAAAGAGGGGAUCAAUUAUUCUUCAACGAACAAGAAGGGAAAGAAGCUCACUCAAAAACGAAAACGUCGACGCUGAGAAACCGUUAUCGGUCAAAUGAUGUAAUAUAUAUGUUCCUAUUUUGUGUACACACUUAACCAUUAUGCAUGGGUCAAAUGAAAUAAUAUAUAUGUUCCUAUUUUGUAUACAUACUUAAUCGUCAAAUGAUGCAAUAUAUAUCGCCUUAGAUAUAUACAUUGUAUCACCUUCCCUUCGUUUACUGCUCCUGGAAAAAAGGAAAAGAAAAGAAAAGAAAAAGAAGAAAAGAAAAGGGAGAGAAAAUAAAGGAAAAUAAAAAAGAAGAAACAAACAGGAAAACUGCUAUAGGUACUAGUUAUAGCAGUAGCGCUUUUCUGAAAAAGAGCUAUAGCUAGUCAAGGUAGCAGUAGCGUUGUCUGGGGAAACACACUAUAGCUACCUGUGAUAGCAGCAACGCUUUUUGGCUAAACGCGCUAUAGCUAACUUAGCUAUAGCGCGUUUUGCCGGAACGCGCUACUACUAUCUUGACUUAACCCCCCAAAUCCCCACUCUCUGCUUCUUCCCGCCUCUGCUUCUUCCCCCAAAUCCCCAGUCUCUCUUCCCCCCUAGUCGCAGCCGGAGCCCUGCCCUCGCCGCGCCCCUGCGCUCGCCCUCGACCCCGGCGCUCGCCCUCGACCCCCCANNNNNNNNNNNNNNNNNNNNNNNNNNNNNNNNNNNNNNNNNNNNNNNNNNNNNNNNNNNNNNNNNNNNNNNNNNNNNNNNNNNNNNNNNNNNNNNNNNNNNNNNNNNNNNNNNNNNNNNNNNNNNNNNNNNNNNNNNNNNNNNNNNNNNNNNNNNNNNNNNNNNNNNNNNNNNNNNNNNNNNNNNNNNNNNNNNNNNNNNNNNNNNNNNNNNNNNNNNNNNNNNNNNNNNNNNNNNNNNNNNNNNNNNNNNNNNNNNNNNNNNNNNNNNNNNNNNNNNNNNNNNNNNNNNNNNNNNNNNNNNNNNNNNNNNNNNNNNNNNNNNNNNNNNNNNNNNNNNNNNNNNNNNNNNNNNNNNNNNNNNNNNNNNNNNNNNNNNNNNNNNNNNNNNNNNNNNNNNCGCCUCGCCUCGGUGCCGCGCUAUCUCCCCCGACCCCAUCUCUCUCUCUCUCCUCCCCUCUUCUCUGCUAUUUAGUGCUAGUUAGUAUGAAAUAGUAUGAAUACUAGGCUAUUUUUUAGUGUAAGAAAAAACAUAUGAUUAUAUAGGUUUCUUGCAUUUUUUUAGUUAAAGCAAUUGUUGCUAUUUAAAUUUUAUAGUGCUAGUUAGUUAAUUAGAAUUAGUAUGAAACCUAGGACAGAUUAGUUAAAGAUCCUGUUGCUAUUUAAAUUUUUUUAGUUAAAGCAAUUGUUGCUAUUUAAAAAAAACGAAUUUGAAGUGGACAGAUUAGUUAAAGCAAUUGUUGCUAUUUAAUUUUUUUAGUUAAAGCAAUUGUUGCUAUUUAAGAAAACAUAAUUUGAAGUGGACAGAUUAGUUGAAGCAACUGUUGCUAUUUAAAUUUUUUGGUUAAAGCAAUUGUUGCUAUUUUUUAGUUUCAAAUUUAGGUAGGCUGAAUUUAGUUUAGAAUAUUGUGAAGAAAAAUGACUUCUUGCAUUUUUUCUUCAUGUUCUAUAUUUUUCUUCCUUUUAUAUGCAAAUUUGAAGUGGUCAUAUGAUAUGUGGACAUGUGAUUUGGACAUGUCAUAUUUGGAAUUUGGACAUGUCAUAUUUGGAAUUUGGACAUGUCAUUUGGACAUGUGAUGUUUUGGACAUGUCAUAUUUGGAAAAUGAUGAUUAUGUGCAGGGUAAAUGAUCCGAGUGGCCUAUGUUUCGCCGGAAUGUUGAUUCAUUUCCGUUCCGGUGAAUUUUAGGCGUCCGAUAUGUCCACUUUUAGCAAAGGUCAUGCCGAAUUUUUUCGUGAAUUUUGGCAUGACUUGUGCUAGAAAGUAGGCAUAUCGAGUGCCGGGAUUUGCUGGGAAACGACAUUCCGGCAAACAUAGAUCUUUUUUUAUGUCAUUUCUCAUUUUUUAUAGUUUUAGAAUUAAACGAGGAGACUUAACCAUAGGAAACUUGUCAAACAACGAAGAAACCGGGCCCUCUGACCAAGAUACAGACGAGAUGGAUUAUGAGGGUGAACAAUAGUACCUUGACUUUUUUUCUCGUGAAAGCAAAUUUGUACAUAGACGAGAAGUAAAUAUGUGCUUCUUGUGAAAAUAUAGUUUUUUUUCAAGAAGUACAGUUGUGCUUCUCACAAAAACACAUAUAUGCCACGAGAAACAAAUCAGUGUCUCUGAUGGAAGCAUGGAUUUUUUCCCCUUUUCUGAAAAGCAUAGAUGUGCUUCUUGCGAAAGCAAAUAUGUGCCUCCAUGAAGCAUAAAUUUUCCCCUUUUCUGAGAAGCACGGUUGUGCCUUUCACGGAAACAUAAACUUUUUCACGCAAAAAAACAUCUGUGAUUUUUCUCAGCAAAACAUGGGGAGGACCUAGUGAAAAUCAAAAGGCCAAAAGGACCGGGAAAAACUAUAUAAAAUGCGUAAGAAAAACAAACGAAAUCCAGAGGGAGCACCAAACAUGCGACAUCUGGCGCGCACCACUUGACGUGCUCCCAAGGCACCAAAAGUGUCCCUUGGAGGCCUCAACGAGGGUAACUUCCAGUUAGUUGCCCAAAAAAAACUCAUCUCUCUUUGUGUUUUUUUAUUAAAACUCUCAAAUUAUGACAACUAAUAACAUAUAAUAAAAUGUGACACCUGUCACCAUCAGAAAAGACCUGAUAACUUUUGCUAAAGGUACGCCUUAAUCAGCGAUUUCGCCGUCGCCUCGUAUUGUAUCAAUCCGACUCGUUUUGUGAGAGUACGAUUUCUUGACGGAACGGACUCGUCGUGUGAAGCAUGGGCUCGCCGGCUCGUGGGCCGAAAAAGAGGGCCACAUCUUUAAGCUUUGGGAUGUCCGUGAAGCAUUUCGGAUACAUCGCAUUUGUCUCCUCUCCCGAGCUCCUGUGCUCCCCUGCUCACCUACCAGUCCCGUCUUCCCAAGAUUUCCAGAUCAAGCAGAGAGCCAUGGCGAACCUCCUCUCCUCGGCCCCGAUCCACGCGUCGCUCCCGGACUGCUUCGUCUUCCCGCCCGAUCAGCGCCCGCCGGCCUCCUCUCAGGCCGUCUCCCUCCCGGUCAUCGACCUCUCUCGCGGCCGCGACGAGGUCCGCCGCGCCGUCCUCGACGCCGGCAAGGAGCUCGGGUUCUUCCAGGCCAGUCCAAACUCACAGAUCCCUUUCAAUUAUAUACUUCAUCUCUCGGUAUUUCGUGGUCAAAGCACCUGACCGGCUGACCGCCGCGCGGUGAUGUGUGCAGGUGGUCAACCACGGCGUCUCUGCGGAGGCGAUACGGGACAUGGAGGCGGUGUGCGCGGAGUUCUUCCGGCUCCCUGCGGAGGAGAAGGCGGCCUUCUACUCGGAGGACACGGACAAGCCCAACCGGCUCUUCUCCAGCACCACCUACGAGCUCGGCGAUGAGAAGUACUGGCGGGACUGCCUCCGCCUCGCUUGCGGCUCGCCCGUCGGCGACACCAAGAACAACUGGCCCGACAAGCCCAAAAAGCUCCGGUAAAUUCACGAUGCCAACUCAAUCAUAUGAUACCCGAUUUUUUUUUUUGAUUUGACUAAUUUUUUGUGUUGACUGCAGCGAGGUGGUGGAGAAGUUCGUGGAGCCGACGAGAGGCGUGGGGAUGGAGCUGCUGCGGCUGCUGUGCGAGGGCAUGGGGCUCCGUCCGGACUACUUCGAAGGGGACCUCACCGGCGGCAACGUGAUCAUCAACGUUAACCACUACCCGCCGUGCCCUGCCCCGGGCCUGACGCUCGGCCUGCCGCCCCACUGCGACCGGAACCUCAUCACUCUCCUGCUCCAGAGCACCGUGCCCGGCCUCCAGGUCUCCUACAAGGGCGACUGGAUCAACGUCGAGUCCGUGCCCAACGCCUUCGUCGUCAACUUCGGCCACCUGCUCGAGGCAUCCAUCCAUUGAUCACUUCCCCCUUUCCCUCAGAUUGCUCAUUUUUCAAUGUGGGAUUAAUGAUGCAGAUUGCGACCAACGGGGUUUUGAAGAGCAUCGAGCACCGGGCGAUGACCAACGCCGCGCUGGCACGGACGUCGGUGGCGACGUUCAUCAUGCCGGCCGCGGACAUCCCCAUCGGCCCAGCGGAGGAGCUCGUCGGCGAGGGCAACCCGCCGCGCUACCGCACUGUCACUUUCGACGAGUUCAUGCGCGUGUACAAGACCGUCGGCGCGCGGAGGGAGAGCGUGGAGAAGGCCUUCAAGCUUUAGACCUCAGCUCACCUGUAUCUGAUUUGGAGAACAGUUGCAGAGCAGCAAAGAAACUUGAUUGGUGAUCUAGCUACUAGGUCGGAGUAAAAUAAAUUUAAAAACAGCAACUGGUGAUUGUGAGGUGGAAAUCACGUUUCUGCUAUAUCGACGCUGCUUGAUUCGAGAAUACAAGUUCAAUGUGUGUCCGUGUAUCAUUUACACAUGGGUGGGUAAAAUCAUCG
Molecule: long non-coding RNA, 44836 nt
Filed under: Triticum aestivum (bread wheat)
Lineage: Eukaryota; Viridiplantae; Streptophyta; Magnoliopsida; Poales; Poaceae
Description: long non-coding RNA (TAES_LNC017624)
Source: RNAcentral